This 82467-nucleotide long non-coding RNA is filed under the name Triticum aestivum (bread wheat). RNAcentral describes it as "long non-coding RNA (TAES_LNC007367)". The stretch from base 71765 to 71936 matches the Rfam family "MIR1120/MIR1122 microRNA precursor family". Lineage: Eukaryota; Viridiplantae; Streptophyta; Magnoliopsida; Poales; Poaceae. The record is from RNAcentral.
ACAAUGGGCCUUCUACGGGCCAUAGACACAAUGGGCCUCCUACGAUCUGUAUCAUAAAUGAGCCUUAUAUGGGCCAUAUGAUCGAUUGGCCAAACAUGCGCCAAUAACAGACUGUAUUAUGGCCAUAAACGGGCUAGAGUUGGAAUUGUCCGUUCAUGGGCCGACCAUAACGGGCCGUCGUUAAUAGGCCAUAUCUGAUGACGUUAUGAAAAUGGCCCAAUGUAUAAACAAGCCACAAAUGGGCCGACUGUAACAACAGGUUGAAUUUGGCCCAUAAGCAGAAAAUGACAGUAACGGGCCGUAAGUAACCGAAUGCUGGAAAUGAGUGUCGGUGUCAAAACCGGCGGAUCUCGGGUAGGGGGCCCGAACUGUGCGUCUAAGGCUAAUGGUAAUAGGAGACUGGGGACACGAUGUUUACCCAGGUUCGGGCCCUCUCGAUGGAGGUAAUACCCUACUUCCUGCUUGAUUGAUCUUGAUGAUAUGAGUAUUACAAGAGUUGAUCUACCACGAGAUCGUAGAGGCUAAACCCUAAGAGCUAGCCUAUGAUUAUAGUUGUCCUUGUCCUAUGGACUAAACCCUCUGGUUUAUAUAGACACCAAAGGGGGCUAGGGUUACACAGAGUUGGUUACAGAGAAGGAGAUCUAACAUCCGAAUCGCCAAGAUUUCCUUCCACGCAAAGGAGAGUCCCAUCCGAACACGGGACGAAGUCUUCAAUAUUGUAUCUUCAUAGUCCAACAGUCCGGCCAAAGUAUAUAGUCCGGCUGUCCGGAUACCCCCUAAUCCAGGACUCCCUCAGUAGCCCCUGAACCAGGCUUCAAUGAAGAUGAGUCCGGCGCGCAGAGUGUCUUUGGCAUUGCAAGCCGGGUUCCAUCUCCGAAUACUCCAAAGUAAUUUUCGAACACUUAAAUCAUGUCCGGCUUUGCAAGACAAAUUUCACAUACCACCAUAAAGAGAAGAAUAUUCCACAAAUCUAAUCCGCUGACAACUUUAGAUAACAUGACAUCACACCAUGGCUGGGUCUUUAUUCGAACCGUUUUCUCACAACCAGCCACCGCACAUAUUGCGAGGCGGUUUCCUUGUCACCUCUUGUCGAAGCAGAGAUCAUGUCCCCUUAUCACGGGAUUCUCAUUAAUACGGGUACGGGUAACCCAACCGUGCCAUUUAACGUGGCGCUUGGAAAAUAAGCGAUUUUAACAGGCAAGUGGGGAGGCGCACAGUUUUCGCCGCCUCUAUAAAGAGUCAAGGAUCCCCCAUUUUUACCCACGCCUUCUUCCUCCUUUGCUCAUCCAUUCUCGCACUCUCGACCCCAGCGCCCAAGUUCUCACCUUCUCCGUAGGACCAUUCGCAGCAUGUCCGGAGCGGCAGGCAAGUGGAUGGCCUCCUCCGUCACGGAGGAGGACAUUACCAAGCUUCGGGCGGCCGGAUACCUAGCCGCAAACGUCGCGCACAGGCUUCCAGCGGAGGGACAUAUCGCCCCCACUCCAAAGUCUCGGGAAAUAGUAGUGUUCCUCUCUCAUUUCAUCCACGGACUAGGAUUUCCACUUCACCCAUUCGUCCGCGGGCUCAUGUUUUACUAUGGGCUAGAUUUUCAUGAUCUAGCUCCAAAUUUCAUCCUCAACAUCUCAGUGUUUAUCAUCGUGUGCGAGGCCUUCCUCCGCAUCAAGCCCCACUUCAGCCUGUGGCUACGAAUCUUCUGCGUGAAGCCAAAGAUCGUGAGCGGCCAGCAAGCAGAGUGCGGAGGCACCAUGGUGGGCAGAAUGCCCAAUGUUACAUGGCUUGACGGCUCCUUCGUGGAGACCGUGAAAGGGUGGCAAUCGGGGUGGUUCUACAUCACCGAGCCACGCGAUGCCAACUGGGCGGCGGCCCCAGAAUUCCGAUCCAGCAUCCCCAUGCGGCUCACUUCCUGGGAAAAGAAGGGCCUGGCCUGGGGUGAACCUGCAGAGCUCACUGGACUUCAGAACUGCAAAAAAACAUGAUAGACAAGAAGAUCAAGCUCGUCAACGUGGUCCAGUCCAGGUCAUGCUCGUCCACCGGAUCCUCCCGUGUCAAAGACGGACAUUAAAUAUGUGGGAGUUCGAUCCGGCCGAACACCAGAUGCUGCGAGAGCUCUUCGACGGGACGCAUAAGGACGUCUGGAAGGUGUUGUUCAAGGCCGCCAAAGUUCCUCCUCCCACUUCCGAGGACCGCGGACUCAGCGCCACGCGACUCGCCAAUCUGGUGAGUUCCUUGAAUAUCACAAGAUGUACCUUUCCCAACAUAUUCGUGGGAGGAUUUUAAGUCACCAUGCUUAUCCAAACAGGAAUACGCGGUGACGGCGGAGCAGAUCGACUGUCCAGAUCCGCUGCCGGAAGAUCCGGCAACCGCACUCCUAACAAAGAUGCUGGUUCCAGCGCCUUACAAGGCGCCGGAGAAGAAGGCCGAAAAGAAGGCCACGGGGACCAGGAAGGGUCUCCAGCGCAAGGUUGCACCGGCCGCCUCGUCCGAAGACGAUGAGUCACGCUCCUCCCACGAAGGGGAGGAGAAGAAGAGGAAGGCCGCCCCAUCCGGGGAGGCCGAAAGGUCCAAGAAAGCGGGUACGGGGACCAGGAAACGUCUCUGGCACAAGGCCGUAAAAGACUCGUUAUCCGAGGACGGCGAGGCAGAUUCCUCCCAUGGAGACGGGGGGAAACAUGAGGAAAUUCCCCCUUCCUGCACUGGGGAGGAGAAGAAAAGAAAGGCCGCCCCACAGGGGGAGGCUAGGAUGCCGAAGAAGGGAAAGGCAUCCCUUCGGGAUCACUCCACCACGGUCGCCUAUAGCGAGGAGGAGUGGCUGCCCAGGGGCAAGCCCCUGGCGAAAUCGUAAGUAUCCGCACUAUGUAAUACUUUUCAUGCGCCUUAACUUCAUAGUUUGUAAUAACGACGAACACGCAUAUGCAGUCCGGCUGGGUCCCAUCUCGAGGUAUCCUCUUCGGAUGGAUCUCUGAGUGAGUCGGAGAUGAAUUCACUCCCGACAGCCACCUCCCCUCGGCCCGCAGAUGACACUGGGGUGUUGUCCCAAAGGAUACCGGAACAGGGGGCGGUGCUUCUGGAGAUGCCCCAAGGUGAAAUUCCAGACACCGGGCACAUGGGGGGUAAGAUCCCCAUAGACUAUGCUGACGAGAGCCGCAGUAAGUUGGGAUCCCAGCCGGACACUACAUCGGAACCUCCAAAGGUUCCGGAUUCAGGUAGGCAGCCCCUCGCUAAGGAGGACGAGCCGGCCGUGCCUAUGACCUCCGUCCCACUGGAGGCAUCGGAUAAUUUGCUGGAAGUGCUUCGCGGUGCUUCCAUUGAUGAAGAGCACCAUACUCUUAUGAUUACGGUGAUUGAAAAGGUUCAGUCUGCCAAAACUGGAUUGACCGAAGCCUGCACCAGCCUCCUAACAGGCUUUGAGGUAAGUAAUUGAAAGUGUGAGAAAUUAUCACCCAAUAGACAGUAGACCUGAUGCUCUGUUUGGUGUUCGGAAAGAAAAGCCAAACAGAGGGUCAACUUUAAAUCGCAGGAGUCUAACAGUACAUGUUUAUUUGAAUAAGCAGGCGUUGCUGCUGGCCGCUGCUGCCCGCACAGUGGAGGUCGCCGGACUCAAAUGGGACCUGAAGCAGGCCGAAGAAGAGCUCAGCCUCACGAAGAGGCAGCUCGAAGAGAACAAAGGCAAGUGAUACCCUGUUCGUGUGUCAUAUACAGGAAAAAAUUGGUGAUGCUAACAAAAAGCAUCAUGAUUUUUUAAUAGGGGCCACGACCCAAGUGGUGGUCCUGAAGAAAGCAUUAUCCGAGGACGAAGAUGAAGCGGCCACGGAGCGUACUGAGCGUGAAAAGCAAGAUGCUCAGGUGAGCGAGGUACAGCAAGAGCUCCAGGAGUUCGGCAAGAAGUUCGAGUCCUUGGAGCAUGACUUCAAGACACAAGAGUCUGAGCUUGCAAAGGCCCUCCAGAGUGCGAAAGAUGCCAAGGCCGAAGCCCAAAAGGCCCUCCAAGAAAUCAAGGCAGCCAAGAUGAUAGCGGCGGGUAAGGCAUUCAUUAUGCAAAGCAAGCAUGUGGAGGAGACAUUUCUUUUACUUACCCGAAUUCGGAGCUCUCCAGGGGCAUUCACAGAUCUGCCACGCAUCAUAUCGGAUGCCACGGAGUUCUACCAUGCCGAAGAGGGGAUCUCAAUGGAGAAGCUAUUCUGGUCCCAGUAUACUGGAGCCGAACACCCAAUGCCCCUAAGUGACCAACUGAAGCUAUUGGUCGAACUCCACAAGGCGGCCGAACUGGCCAUGAAGGACCUCAUAGUCCGGAUGUGACAUGGUGAGCCCCUGCCCGACAGCUACUUCGGCCUUGUAAAGUGAAUGGUAAAUGUCUGUCCGCGGCUAGAAGUUAUUAAGCAAUCCGUUUGCAUUAAGGGUGCCCACCGGGCCUUUGCCCAUGCAAAGAUGCAUUGGGCCAAACUGGAUGCAGAAAAGCUGGUGAAGGAUGGACCGCCGGAGGGUAAGGCACAUCGCUACCCCGAGAAUGGCGUUAUGAAAGGUGCUCGCCUUGUGGCCGAUGAAUGUACCAAGGACAUAAUUUUUGAGUGAAUGUACCCAUGUCCUUCUGUAAUAUGAAAAUGAAUUCGUGUGCGUGAUGUAAUGCUUUUGGAUUUAAGAUAUUACCUUCUGUGCGACUGUUUAUAAAAUUUUGAAAGUACGCCAGUCGUCGGCUUCCGCCCCCAUGUAACUAGUACUGGGGUGUUCAUGGAAAACCCAAACACUCUUUAUCCAAAUUCUUGGUCCUUUAAGGAGGUGUUUAGCGCAGCGAACCAGGCAAUUGGACUAUGCGGCUUUGUAACUCUCACUUAGCCAUAGAAGUCUACAAUUUUAAAUUUUGGCAAAGCCCCUAGUAUUCGAAAAGCCGAAUUGGGGCGCUAUACACGCCUAAAUCGGACCAGGCCGAUUCCUCGCCUGAAGCGGAAACAAUCUUUAAGGAUUUAAGACCUCUCGAACAGCGACCAGCUCUCGCCGCAUCAUGACAGUCAGUUUUCGGCUUUCUCUACUGAGGUGCUCAUUCGGAAGAACUGGGACACAAUCGCAGUAGUUCUCCCUGCGCUACCUUAGCCGAUAUAAUGGAACGUAAGGUGCCACAACAAGGGAGCCAGGCAAAUCCAACUAUUGACCCAAGACAUGAUUCGGAGCUGAUGCAUAUAAUGCUAUAAGUUCGGGGUGUCGCACUGUCGAAAGUGUUCAGACUUUUCUUGUCGUGUUAUGGGGCACGAUAAAGCCCCUGGCGAACAUAACGUACCAAAGUGUACGGGUGCAGAAUUUAAAUAAGCAGUCAAGGGAAAGUAUAGAGAAGGUAAUAAUAAGAUGAUGCUAUAUAUUGUUUCCCAUUGUUAUUUAAAUAAUACGUCAAGGCGUAUGUGUACAAUUUAAUGCGAUAAGCAAAAAUAGGACUAUUUGAAAUGUCCUAUCCAAGGGCAGGCCGCAUGCGGGUAUGUAAAACAGGUAUAACAAUCAUUAACAGAGACCACCUGGGUAUUCUCUUGUGCGCAAAGCCUCUUGCCUCCUUGGUUUUCCCUCCUCUGAUGAGUCCGAUGAUCAGGUUCUCUGAAGGGGCUGCCCGAAAGUAGGGUCCUGAUAGAGAAAGAAGGUUACAAAGGUAUGCGGGCCUCGUGGUGGUUGAACCACACUGUGGACCGCAUCGUCAUCGCGCCUCCGCUUAUGCCCAUGGUAUUUUGAGUGCGUAAAUGUGUACGCGCGGCACAAAUGCCGCCUGAAUGGGGCUGGGGCGGAGGUCAAGUUGCUAAUUGCGCUCUUUGCGUGCCUGACAAUCCUGUUGCAGAGAACUCCGGACUCGCUUGACGGUGUUCGGGGUUGUCAUCACCGAAUUGGCGGUCUGCCGAAAAAGCCUGCUUUGUACUUCUGCCGCGAGGGCUGCAGUGUGCUCUUCCGUACGGAGAGAGCGGUUUGUGUUUCCAUUGACUAUUAUAACCCUGCGAGGUCCUGGCAUCUUGAGCUUAAGGUAUGCAUAGUGUGGUACCGCAUUGAAUCGAGCGAACGCGGUUCGUCCAAGCAGUGCAUGAUAGCCACUAUGGAAAGGGACGAUAUCAAAGAUUAACUCCUUGCUUCGGAAGUUAUCCGGAGAUCCGAAGACCACUUCCAGUGUUAUUGAGCCCAUACAACGGGCCUCUACCCCUGGAAUUACACCUUUGAAGGUGGUUUUGGUGGGUUUGAUCCUUGAGGGAUUGAUGCCCAUUUUGCGCACUGUGUGCUGAUACAGCAGGUUUAGGCUACUGCCACCGUCCAUAAGGACUCGUGUGAGGUAGAAUCCGUCGAUUAUUGGGUCAAGGACCAAUGCGGCUGAACCACCGUGACGGAUGCUGGUAGGGUGGUCGCUACGAUCGAAAAUGAUCGGAGAGGAUGACCAUGGGUUGAACUUUGGGCGACUGGCUCCAUCGCAUAGAUGUCCCUUAGUGCAUGCUUCUGUUCCUGUUUGGGAAUGUGGGUGGCAUAGAUCAUGUUUACCGUUUUCACCUUGGGGGGAAAUUUCUUCUGUCCCCCAGUGUUCGGGCGCCGGGGCUCCUCGUCAUCAUCGCUGUGCAGCCCCUUGUCCUUGUUUUCGGCAUUCAACUUGUCGGCAUGUUUGAACACCCAACAAUCUCUGUUAGUGUGGUUGGUUGGCUUAUCAGGGGUGCCGUGAAUUUGGCACGAGCGGUCGAGUAUGCGGUCCAGACUGGAUGAUCCCGGAUUAUUUCUUUUGAAUGGCUUUUUUUGCUGACCGGAUUUUGAGUUGUUGAAUCCGGCAUUGACUAUCGUGUCUUCGGCGUUGUCGCCAUUGUUCCGACGCUUAUGUCUAUUGCGGCGUGGCUUGCCAUUACUGUCGCGGACAUCUGAAGUGCCGAAGUUUCUUGGCGUGGUGCUACUGCAAGCCAGCCAGCUGUCCUCUCCCGCGCAAAAGCGGGUCAUGAGUGUCGUGAGGGCCGCCAUGGACUUCGGUUUUUCUUGGCCGAGGUGUCGGGCGAGCCACUCGUCGUGGAUAUUAUGCUUAAAGGCCGCCAGGGCUUCGGCGUCCGGACAGUCAACAAUUUGGUUCUUUUUAGUUAGGAACCGAGUCCAGAAUUUCAUGGCUGACUCUUCGGGCUGUUGGGUAAUGUGACUUAAGUCACCAGCAUCCGAUGGCACACGUAGGUGCCUUGGAAGUUGUCGAGGAACGCGUCCUCUAGGUUUUCCCAAGUGCCGAUGGAGUUUGCCAGCAGGCUAUUUAGCCAAUGUCAGGCUGGUCCUUUGAGCUUAAGGGGAAGAUACUUGAUGGCAUGUAGGCCAUCGCCGUGGGCCAUGUGAAUGUGGAGAAGGAAAUCGUUGAUCCAUACCGUGGGGUCUAUUGUGCCAUCGUAUGAUUCGAUGUUUACGGGUUUAAAUCCUUCUGGGAAUUCGUGAUCCAUUACUUCAUCGGUGAAGUAGAGGGGGUGUGCGACGCCUCUAUGCCGGGCUAUGUUACUGCGCAGUUCGACUAAGUCUGGUCGGUUAUGUUUGGCCCGGCCGGACUAAUUGUUAGUGUAUCCGGCAUGACGGUCAUCGUCAUCUGUUGGGGUGCGCCCCCAUGAUCCGUAGAUCGAUCUUGGUUGUCCUGCUUUGUUUUCCAAUAUGUCUCGCAGGUCUUGCGUAUUGCCUCGGGCAGUAGUGUAUUGGCGUCAGGGUGCGGGCUGGUAUUCGGGCUAAUACACCAUUUUAUCUCGGCCACGAGGUGGCCGGUCAGCCUUGUCCUGUGCUGGUAGUGUAGGCUCUAAGGCCUCCUCCUCGAGUUGAGGUAGCAACUUGUUCUUUGGGUAACCCUUGGUGGGGCGCUCGAGUCCGUAUUCCUCGGCCGCCAGGACCUCAGUCCAUCUAUCUGUGAGCAGAUCUUGAUCAGCUUGGAGCUGUUGCUGCUUCUUUUUCCGGCUUCUUGCAGUGGCUAUAAGCUGGCGCUUGAAGCGCUCCUGCUCUAUGGGAUCCUCAGGCACGCUGAAUUCAUCAUCACCGAGGCUCACCUCGUCUUCGGAGGGAGGCAUAUAGUUGUCAUCCUCCAAAUAUCUGUCCGUCGCCUGUUCAUCUGAGCUAACCUCCCCGUAUUCCUGUUCGGCCUGCUUGAAGGUAGGCUGAUCGGGAUUGUAUUCAUCUUCGGCACCAUCCGGAUUUGUUUUGUCUCCUUUGCUGGUAUUACUGUGGCGGAGCUUAGAGCGGCACCGGUGACGCCCAUGCUUUGAUUGCUUCCCUAAGGGGUUAUCCUCUAUUGCCUCAUCGCCAUUGUUUUCUUUGGGGGUGUCCACCAUAUAUAUAUAUAUAUAUAUCAUAUGAGGAGGUGGUUGUCCAGCGCCCUGUGGGCGGUGGUUCCUGUUCUUCUCCUGCAUCGUCAUCCAUACCAUCGAUGUCUUCGGAGUCAAAGUCAAGCACGUCGGUUAAAUCAUCCACAGUGGAACUGAAGUGGGUUGUGGGUGGGUAACGAAUUUCUUCGUCAUCUACUUCCCACUCGAGCCAGACAUAGUUCGGCCAAGAGUCUCCUGACAAAGAGAGAGACCUUAAUGAAUUCAGCACAUCGUUGAAGGGUGAGUGCUGAAAGAUAUCCGCAACGGUGAACUUCAUUACCGGAGCCCAAUCGGAUUCGAUGGGCCCGGGUGCGUGCGGUCCGGAACCUACAGCCGGACACAAGUCUGGGGGUCCGGUGACACAGACUUCCUUAGAGGUGGAGUCUGUGUUCGUCUCUACCGCUGAUGAGUAUGCGGCCUCCGUGGCGGGGUCCAUCCACCCAUCCUCGGAUGACGCGAUCUGCCCCGGAUUUAGGUCCAGAGCCACUGCAGGUGCGUUAUCCCGAACACUGUCCGACAGCCGAUCUAAGUCGUGCCCGUCGUGACCGUCCGGCGCUCCUGGUGUAGGCCCGAAUCCGUCGAAGAUCAAGUCCCCGCGGAUGUCGGCCGUGUAAUUCAGGUUUCUUAACCUGACCUGAUGGCCAGGGACGUAGCUGUCGAUCUGCUCCAGAUGGCCAAGUGAAUUGGCCCGUAGUGCGAAGCCGCCGAAUACGAAGAUCAGUCCGAGGAGAAAAGUCUCACCCUGGACCGCGUCGUUAUUGAUGAUUGAAGGAGUCAUCGAGCCUUACAGCGACGACACAGAGGAACUCUCAAUGAAAGCACCAAUGUCGGUGUCAAAACCGGCGGAUCUCGGGUAGGGGGUCCCGAACUGUGCGUCUUAGGCUAAUGGUAACAGGAGACUGGGGACACGAUGUUUACCCAGGUUCGAGCCCUCUCGAUGGAGGUAAGACCCUACUUCCUGCUUGAUUGAUCUUGAUGAUAUGGUUAUUACAAGAGUUCAUCUACCACGAGAUCGUAGAGGCUAAACCCUAAGAGCUAGCCUAUGAUUAUGAUUGUCCUUGUCCUACGGACUAAACCCUCCAGUUUAUAUAGACACCGGAGGGGGCUAGUGUUACACAGAGUCGGUUACAGAGAAGGAGAUCUAACAUCUGAAUCGUCAAGCUUGCCUUCAACGCAAAGGAGAGUCCCAUCCGGACACGGGACGAAGUCUUCAAUCUUGUAUCUUCAUAGUCCAACAGUCCGGCCAAAGUAUAUAGUCCGGUUGUCCGGAUACCCCCUAAUCCAGGACUCCCUCAAUGAGCCCAAGAAUAAAUGGGCCCUGAGAAGGGCAAAAGAUAACAUGGGCUGGAAACGGCCCACUGGAAUAAUGGGCCAUUAAUGGGUAUAAAGUGAUACGAUGUUCAUUACGGGCCAGUUUCACCACGGGUUGUUAAUGGGCCAAGAGUUACAAAGGGCCUCAUAUGGGCCGAAAGACGCCAUGGGCCAUACAUGGGCCGGAAGUUAAAACGGGCUGGAAUCAUAUUGGAUGGCCCACAUGACGCUACUGGGCCUAAUUUGGAUAGGUCGUAACAGGCCCUGGGGUAGCGGGCUGUAAAUGGGCUAUAUGCAAACAGGCUGUUAACAGGCUUUUAGUGGGCCGGCCCGCCACCUUUUGACCAAGUCAAACGGGACGGCCUUUUCACGGGAAUGGGCCUCUGUUGGGCCAUGCCACGUGUCGACGUAUCAUAGGCGCCUUCCGUCCAAUGAGUGGAUGACAUCUGUCCCGACGGUGAGCCGACACGUGUUUCCUCCAGCCAAUGAUAAUUUUAUACGUGGAAAAUCUCCAUUGGCCAGGGCUAUUAAUGGGUUAUCGGAUCCAAAACCGGACCCGAUAGCUUAAUGGUGUUCCGUUACGGUGGAUUCCACGUGUCGGUCACCCUUGACGAAAACACUUCUAUGACGCACGAUUUAUCGUCAUGGAAGUGGACACUUCCAUGAUGAUAGUUUUGGUAAUGUCAUGGAACACUUCUACGACGGAUAGGUAUGACUAUCUUGAUUCUGUCAUAAAAUCGUCAUGGAUGUACAUGCAUGACAAAAAACGCCACCUACUGUGACAAACACGUAUCAUCACGGAAGUGUAUUUUUUUUGUAGUGAUGGUAGAUUGGUGUGACUUAGGAUCGGGGUCCUGAUAGCUUUGGUAUCAGAGCCUGAUUUCCUGUAGGAUUACCAAGCCAAACUUGUCGAAGUUGAGUCUAGAAAUUCUUUAGUUAUAUAAAGGAAUUGAUUGUGGAUGGGAACGUAAGGCUCUUUUUAAUCCUUUACCUUAUGCCUUCUAAUCUGAGUCAUCUUAUCUUUCCUACGGGGUUAAGGAACUAGGCUUUCUCUUCUUUCUAUCAAGAUCACGUGUUACUAAUCCGUAGAUUUAUAAGAUUGUUGGACAUAAGCCUCAGUUCAGUUCCUACUACUUUCGUGUGUUCAUAGCCGAUCUCAGAACCUUGAUAUUGUGAUGUUGAGUGGUCAGGCCACUAAUUUGCAGGAUGUCUCAAAUCUUUUUGAGCAUUUAUAAUCGUUAUGUUGUCUGAGUCAUCCCAGGUUUCUAAAUAGUCCGAUGCACUUGCAAAUCUUUCCUCCAUGUUCCCGAUGUCCUUUUGGGCCAGAUUAAGCACACUAAUUGGUGUGUUGAGGUAUUCCAUUACCUCGACAUAUAUGUUGGAGCUAUUAUUAUGACCCUAGGUGUCUUAGUUGAUCACCUAGCAAUCUAGCCAUGUUUUGUGUUUCCAGUGUGAUGAUUCUGGCCAUUACCCUUGAAAGCAUUCCGUGAUGCCAUUUAGUUAGUAGGCGUUCUACCCCUGGGUUAUUGAACCCGAGAUCCACCCUACUUACCUCUUGUUGAUAGUGUUUGCUAGUUCCUUUAGGACAUUAGUAACCUUUGCGAUAGUCCUCGAGGUUCGUGGUAUAUCCUUCUCCCAAAUACCAUGAACUGCUUAUGGCAGAAUUUCCUCGCUGAACCGAAAGAUCACAACUAGAGUGCUCUUGACGAGUUCUCGGUUCUAUGUUGUUACUCUGCCAGUUCUACCUUUCUGCAUGGGUUGUCCAAAAAAAUAUGUUGAACUCGUUCGACAUGCUAAUCUAUGCAUCCACAACUCAGAAAAUCAUAUGUUCUUUUGGGUUGUCCUUCUUUAGUUGUUUUCUGGCCCUCGUAUAUCAAUUGAUAGUCAGGAGUAGUUUUGCAUUCGUGUUCAUCGAUGCCUACUACUCGGAAGUACCACCGGGUCGUCACCUGACCACUAUGUUGAGUUCGUGAUCAAGUUGGUUUUCUUGUAAACCACCCUUUCUCCAAGAAUUUGUGUUGGAUACCCUGAGCUAGUUGGUUAAGCUAAACAACAACUUGGAGAGUUGGAAGAUAAAAGCUUGUCCAAUUCAGUUCAUUCCAAGGGAUAUCCUUGUGCGUGUGUGUUGAAGAGAGAUGAUAUCUUCAUCAAUUGGUCCUCGUGAUCAGUUGUUGGAUCUAUUGUCUUGUCAAACCCUUGAUUUGAGUGUGGGCUAUCAUCAAAUCAAAUCAGAACCAAUGAUGUUUUUAAUGUUGUCUUACUCGUGGUUGAUCCCUCGAGCAUACACCAUUAUAUCCUUUGGUCUGACCAAUGCUAUCACUUGUUCACAUAAUUAUGGAAUUCCAUCUUUAUGGAAAUUCUGAUGAUUGUUGUUGGGCUCAUCAGCAACAAUUUUAUCUCCUCCAGGAUUCAAGUUGAACAUCCAGCUAGUGUUGGAAACUUUGUAAACAAUCUCUUCGUGUUCUAUUCAUGAAGCAUAUGUCCGGAUGAAAGAAGUGACUUCCUCUAACUCAUGUGCAUUUGAUGCAAGUUGCCGCCGUGAAUUCGGGAAAGUUAGUUUUGCUUCCUCUGGAAUCAUCCCAAGUCAGUUAUGCAUAUGUGCGAAGUAUUCUGUGGUCUGGAGACUUGCAACCUUCAUUCUAUAUGUAUCCCUAGCACACCAAGCCACUGAUUGACUUGUUCAAGAUAAAGGAGUCCGUUCUAAGGUGAAAUCUUUGGACUUCCACGCGUGGAGACUCCAAUGUCAUUGAUGAUGGUUCCCUACCUGAACUCGGUAAUGUUUUAUUAUAACACUACUACGUGGUCAUGCUUGUCUGGGAUAGCGUGUUCACAUGUGUGUAGCAGAACCAGCUCAUGUUUUGGAGCUUGCUAUCAUAGUUCAUUCCUCGAUAAUCUCGCAACGCCAGCUCGUUGAUUUGUGUUGAAAACUUUCAUUUUCCCUUCCAGACUUGAUGAGUAUGGAAUAUUCUGACACCAACCAUAUCUGAAUCUUAGGGUGAUAUGAUGGUUGGAACGUUUCCCAAGAACUAUAAUAUUGGUCUCUUUGUAACCCGGUAAACUGGAUGUCGUGGCUAACCCAUCAAGCUGGAAGACCUAUUAUUGUAGUAUCUUGAUUGAGGAAGUUGGUCACCUCCCCAUAAGGAUUUUGUAGGAUUUACUUUAGUAGUUAUUCCUUAUGGAUUCUUGAGCUCCCGAAGUCUAACCUUUUACUCGAUGUUCUAGAUAUCAAACCAUAUCUAUGAAUGGGUUAUGCUAGCACAUCAAGGAGAACAUUAGAAGUGGAGUGCUAAAUGUCUCUCGGUCGAUCAUCCAGAUUUUGACACCUUGGACUCGCUAAGGUGAAAUCUGAGAAGGUGUUAUCUUCCUUUGCAUCUGCAUCGUCCAUCCCUAUUCAUCAUGGUAGUAUGUUAUGUUACCAGGAUCCUUGACACGGAUAUUGGUAAAACCUUGAUGAAUAUGGAAAUGCUCAAGUUCUUGAGAGCACGCGCAAGCCCUAGGUUUUAUCAACGACAUUAAUUGAAUAGUGCUCUCAAUUUCCUCGGUUAUGCUAUAACCUUUCAAACAGUGGAUUCACUCUCUACUGUUGGGUUUCUUCCCAAUUACUAGAAUCAUUCCCAGCAUUUGCAUUUUGUUCCCAGCUUGCACUGCCAUGGUGCCAAUGUUCCAUAGGCUUCCCUCUUAGUAGUUGUUGUUCAGGAUCAUCUUUAGAAGUGGUCCUACCAUGGGUCCCAUCCAUUUUCGAUGAUAAGAAAAAAUCAUCCAUUGCAUUGUCCUCAACAAGGUAGUCCCCAUCAUACAUUCUAGUUUCAGUAUGCCAUUCUUUAGGACUACUUCAAAUGAUCGAUUGUGAUUUGCCUUAAGCUGGUAUAAAGAUCUUCAAUGAUCUAUGUAUCAAAAGUAAUUCCUUUUGCCACUUAAGGUAAUGAUUCCACGAGUCACCUUCCCUGAGGUGCCCCGUUAUGAAAUCAUGGCAAUGAACUCCUCGCUAUUUUGACCUCGUCCGCAAUUUUCUUAAAUGUGGAAUUGUCGCCUACCUAGUGAAUCUUCGUCAUCUGUUUCACUCCAUCCCUCUAGAUGCAUGCUUCGUGUCUCAGCUCGAAAGAUGUUGCUAUGUCUCGUUCUGUGAGCUAAUCAUCGGUUGCUCGAUCUUCGAGAAGAUUGAUUCUUCUAGAGUUUCCUUUCUUCCCGUUAUCGUGUUGGAUGGAGUUCUCAGAGCAAGACAUCGAGACAAAGGUGAUGAACGAAUCAACGCUCUUAUGAAUUACAACCUGGAUCGUGAAGAUUGUGCUAGCUUCGUGUUCCCUUCUGUCUGCUUACCCUACGUCUUGAAUCUCGGGAUGAGAUUCUUGUUUAGUGGGGGUGAGUUGUCACAUCCCUAGUUCUGGUAUGCUCUGGCUAGCUAGUCAUGUGUGCAUCAUGUCUAAGUUUUCAAAUGAACUUGAAAUGGGGAUUGAUAAACCCUAGCACCAAAUGAAAUUUAAAUAGGUUCAACUAAAAAUAUUUUUCAGUGACCCCAAACUAGCUUUCAAAAAUGUUCAUCAUUUUUGGAAAAUUGCUAGAAACAGUAACCAGAGAUGAUGCACAUUUUUCACGAGAUUUUUGGACUCUGAAUUAAUUCAUUAUGUAUUUGAAUUGGAGGAAAUAUAUUCCAUAAAUAUUUGUAAUGCUCCAAUAAUUCUAGGAAGUUGUGAGGGGCUCUGGCAUAAUCCACAUAGUCCCUACAAAAAUGAUCAGAAUAAAAGAAAUUGAUUUAGUAUUUUUACUAAAUCGGGAACAACUUACAGAAAACAAAAUAGAACAGAAAAUAGAAAAGGAGGAAAACCCACGUGGCAGCCGACUUACCUGGCGCUCCUGUGCGGCUAGCUAGACGACCCAGCCCACCAGGGGCAGCGCUGUCUUCUUCCUCCUGCCAGGAGGAGAAGCAACAGCGUGCCCGGCGCACAGCCGGCCGCGGCCACGUCUCAUCGCCACCUCCUGCUUCCUCUCUUCGCCCUGACGACGCCAUGACACCCCGGACCUCUCUCACUUCUCCGCCCCCGUGCUCAUCCCCUCCUCUGCUGCUCUCUCUCGCGCGCGCCCGAGCGCUUCUGUCACUGCUGUCGCAGAGCACCACGCCCACCGUCGUCCCUCUGCCCCGCGGUCGUGUCCUAUAGCUCCUCCUCGAUGCCGUGAAGCUCCAAGACGAAGAACACGACCUCGGAUGCCUGGAGCCGUCGCCCUCGAGCUCGUCACCGCCGCAUCUGGCCACCGGAGGUCGUUGUCGAUACAUGUGCUGGAGGUCAUCCCCGAGCCCGUUGUUCUGCUCUGCAUGUGCGCUGUGAGAUUCUCUCUGUUUCCCCUCCCCCACAUUGCUCCAGUCCAUGCUGCAGCUGCUCUCCGCGAGCUCCCGCACCGCCGUCCACCAUUGUCAUUGCACGCGUAGCCCUCGAGCUCCUCCUCUCGUAGACAUGCCCUUGGCAUGUUCCUGGUGCUCCCAGGAACCCAUGGAUCCCCUCGGCUACUCUCGCUAUGCCCCAUAGUGUCGCGAUGAUCGAACCCGUUCUUCGGCCGCCGCGAAACCUCGAUGCCGGCGUAGUUCCCGGCCACACCAGGUCCAACUAGUGGCACCACUAGAUGCGGCGCACUUCCAGGAGUCGAGCAAGCCUAGCCGCACGUCGAAGCAUCGCCAGACAGUGAUUUCCGAAGAUCUCCGCCGCAGUUUCGGUCACCGGCGGUUAAACGCCGGCGGGCUGACGUGGCUGAGUCAUUAGCUGCUAAUUACCCCACUAAUCAACCCCUUGAGCCACUGACACAUGGGCCCAUGCGCCUGUUUAGGUUAGACUAAUUUUCUGUUUAGAUUAGUGAUAAAUUUGUGGCCCCAAGUGUCGGCUUUGACUUUGAUCUAGGUAACAUUGACUGGGCCCACAUGUCUGUGACACUAACCAACCCUGAGCCACUGGCCAGUGGGCCCCACAUGUCAGGUUUGACCUGGACUGAGUCUGUUGACCUGCUGAGGUCAGCAUGACGCAAUGCUGACGCUGUAAUUGAUUUUCUGGAUUUAAAAUAAUUCUUGAAAUUUCAGAAAAAUGCCCAAAGUUUCAAAAAUCCAUAGAAAAUAAUCUAUAACUCCAAAUGAAAUAACUUAAAUGAUCAGAAAAAUCCAAUCUAUCCAUCUGUACCAUUCUCAUGUAUGUUUGAACAACUUAAAGUUGUUGUAUACAAAAAUUUGAAUAAAUGGAAUUUGAAAUGCCUUAUGUGGAGUGUGAAUUUGAACCUAGGGUUCAAACCAACUCCAUUUAAAUCGUUGCUAGCUACAUUAGCUCAAACCACAGCAUAUUGCCAUGUUACAAUCAUGCAUCAUAUUGUCGCAUUGCAUUGAUUGUGUUCUUUCUCUGUUGCCGGUGUUUGUCCCCUCUCAGUAGACAUGGUACCGACGAUCAGUUCGAUGACACCGAUGAAGAGCUACACUAUCUUCAGAAGUGUGAGGCAAGAAAAAACCCCUUGUUCAUUCUGAUACAAUCCCACUCUCUCGCUCCUGCUCUCUUUUACUGCAUUAGGACAAAAAUGAUUCAAUUGUUACAUGCUGUGGUAGUUGAAUCCCUUUCCUCUGCAUGACCUGUCAUUGCCACAGUAAAUAGAUGAAACCCACUAGCAUGAGUAGGAGUAGUUUGAGCCCUGAUGUGCCUACUCAUUCAUGCUUGUUUGUCAUGCCUACUACUACUUAGAGUUGAGUCAGGUCUGAUUCAUUAGAGAUGAAUUGGAAUGUUGUGAAACAUGUCCUACUAUGUGUGAGCUAAGUGUGUGAACACGAUUUGGUAAAGGUAGCAGUGAGAGGCCACGUAGGAGUACAUGGUGGGUUGUCUCAUUGAAACCGUCCUCAAGAACUGAGUCAUGUGUCUGUGAUCCAUGAACAGUUGCUACCACACAUUGGGUUCCAGUAACUUGACCCCUCUCGACUUAUUAAUUAGCCUGAUCUCUAUCCAGGAGUUGCAACUAGUUUCUGGUGUUUGUAGGUAGUUCUAGUAGUCUACCAAGUGACACCCGGUACAGGUGGGCUUGGGACAGACUAGGUGCAGUGGCACGGUGUACCAAGUCGCACCCGGAUGGUGGGCUUGGGAAACCUGCUCAUAUCGUUUGGGGCCGUGAGCGACACCCUGGCCGGAUCUCCUUGCGGAUGGAACCCGAAUAGGCGAUAAACCUGGACUAGAGACUUGCGUGGUUAGUCAGGUCGUGGCCGACACCCUUGCCAGGCUUCCGCUUGAAGGUUGCCGAGAUACAUGACGUGUACAUGGUGGUAAGUGGCAAGAGUGUGUGUGAAGAAGUACACCCCUGCAGGGUUAAUAUGAUCUAUUAGAAUAGCCGUGUCCGCGAUAAAGGACCUAUGGGUUGCCUAUACAAUUCAUAAACAAGUGAAAGGGGAUACUCUAAAAUGCGUGAUACGUCUCCAACGUAUCUACUUUUCCAAAUACUUUUGCCCUUGUUUUGGACUCUAACUUGCAUGAUUUGAAUGAAACUAACCCGGACUGGCGCUGUUUUCAGCAGAACUACCAUGAUGUUGUUUUAUGUGUAAAAAGAAAAGUUCUCGGAAUGACCUGCAAAUCCAUGGAGAGACUUUUCAGAAUUAAUAAGAAUUUUUGGCGAAAGAAUCAGGGCUAGGGGGCCCAAGGCCUGUCCACGAGACAGGGGGGCGCCCCCCCUAGGGCGUGCCCCCUAUCUUGUGGGCCCCCUGGACCUCCUCUGACCUCAACUCCAACUCCAUAUAUACCGUCUCACGGAGAAAAAAAUUAGAGAGAAAGUUUCAUCGCGUUUUAUGAUAUAGAGCCCUAAUCUCUCUCGGGAGGACUGAUCUGGAGUCUGUUCGGGGCUCCGGAGAGGGGGAUUCGUCGCCGUCGUCAUCAUCAACCAUCCUCCAUCACCAAUUUCAUGAUGCUCACCGCCGUGUGUGAGUAAUUCCAUCGGAGGCUGAGAUUUACCAUCGUACGCAGGACGGUGAUGGGUUGGAUGAGAUUUACCAUGUAAUCAAGUUAGUUUUGUUAGCGUUUGAUCCCUAGUAUCCACUAUGUUCUGAGAUUGAUGUUUCUAUGACUUUGCUAUGCUUAAUGCUUGUCACUAGGGCCCGAGUGCCAUGAUUUCAGAUCUGAACCUAUUAUGUUUUCAUGAAUAUAUGUGUAUUCUUGAUCCUAUGUUGCAAGUCUAUAGUCACCUAUUAUGUGUUAUGAUCCGACAACCCCGAAGUGAUAAUAAUCGGGGCACUUCUCGGUGAUGACCGUAGUUUGAGGAGUUCAUGUAUUCACCAUGUGUUAAUGCUUUGGUCUGGUUCUCUAUUAAAAGGAGGUCUUAAUAUCCCUUAGUUUCCACUAGGACCCCGCUGCCACGGGAGGGUAGAACAAAAGAUGCCAUGCAAGUUCUUUUCCAUAAGCACGUAUGACUAUUUAUGGAAUACAUGCCUACAUUACAUUGAUGAACUGGAGCUAGUUCUAUAUCACCAUAUGUUAUAACUAUUGCACGAGGAAUCGCAUCCGGCAUAAUUAUCCAUCACUAAUCCAUUGCCUACGAGCUUUUCAUAUAUUGUUCUUCGCUUAUUUACUUUUCCGUUGCUACUAUUACAACUACUACAAAAAGCCAUAAACAUUUAUCUUUACUGUUGCUAUUGUUGCCAUUACUAUCAUAUCACUUUUGCUACUAAACACUUUGCUGCAGAUACUAAGUUAUCCAGGUGUGGUUGAAUUGAAAACUCAACUACUAAUACUCAAGAAUAUUCUUUGGCUCCCCUUGUGUCGAAUCAAUAAAUUUGGGUUGAAUACUCUACCCUCGAAAGCUGUUGCGAUCCCCUAUACUUGUGGGUUAUAAAGACUAAUUUCUGGCGCCGUUGCCGGGGAACAUAGCUCUAUUCUCUGAGUAACUUGGGAUUUAUAUAUGUUGAUCACUAUGAAGAACUUGAAAGACUCUAAGACCAAGAUUUUUCCCUCGACUACGAGGUGAGGUAAGGAACUGCCAUGUAGCUCUGCACUAGAUUCUCCUUCCGUUAUUGAUAGGCUUGCGACACCUAAACCUGCUACUGCUAUGAAUUCUGAUAUGUCGCAUGUUAUUGAUGAUGCCACUUCUGCUAUGCAUGAUGAAACUACUUCUAUGCGUGAUACUACUUUGCCAUUAGGUGAAUUUCUUGAUGAACAACUUGCUAGAGUUAGGGGGAAUGAAAAUAUUGAAGAACCUAUUAUUGAUGAUAGUGAUGAUGAACGUUCCCCCAAUGAUUAUGUAUUACCUGUUGUUCCUAAGGGUUAUGUUAUGAACAAAGAAGCUGCUGAAGCUAUUCUUGCUUGCAAUGAUAGAAAUGAUCUUAAGAAAUUAUUAGCUAAAUGGAAGCAGCAGUCUCUUAAUGCUAGAAUGAAACCCGAUCCUACUUUUUCUACUUCACCUAUCUGUGUUACUGAUAAGGAUUAUGAAUUAUGUGUUGAUCCUGAUAUUAUUACUUUAGUUGAAUCUGAUCCUUUUUAUGGCCUUGAAUCUGAAACUGUUGUGGCACAUCUUACCAAGUUGAAUGAUAUAGCUACCCUAUUUACUCAUGAUGAGAAGUCUCGCUAUUUAUAUAUCCUUAAGAUAUUUCCGUUCUCAUUAAAGGGUGAUGCUAAGACUUGGUAUAAUUCUCUUGCUCUUGGUUGUGUGCGUAGUCCCCAGGAUAUGAUUUAUUACUUCUCUGCUAAAUAUUUCCCUGCUCAUAAGAAACAAGUUACCUUGCGGGAAAUAUAUAAUUUUGUGCAAACCAAAGAAGAGAGUCUCCCACAAGCUUGGGGGAGGCUUCUCCGGUUGCUUUAUGCUUUGCCUGAUCAUCAUCUUAAGAAAAAUGAAAUACUUGAUAUCUCUUAUAAUGGACUAACCGAUGCUUCCAAGGACCACUUGGAUAGUUGUGCUGGUUGUAUUUUCAGGGAAAGAACAGUCGACGAAGCUGAAAUAUUAUUGAAUAACAUGUUGACUAAUGAAAAUAAUUGGACUCUUCUCGAGCCAGUUCCUGAAGAAAUUCCUGAACCAAUUGAGCCAACUCCUGAGCCUAUUCCUAAACCCACUCUGAAGAAGAGAGGUGUUCUAUUUCUCAGUCUUGAAGAUAUGCAAGAGGCAAAGAAAUCAAUGAAAGGAAAAGGAAUUAAAGCUGAAGAUGUUAAGAAUUUACCUCCUAUUGAAGAAAUACAUGGUCUGAAUAUACCGCCUGAAGAACCACAUUGUCUUGACAACCCAACAUAGGUAGUAAAGGUAAAUUCUCUCUAUAGAUAUGAUAAAGUUGAAAUACCCUCUACUAAAUUUCAUAGCCCAUUCUUAGAUGAAUUUGAUGACUUUAUGGCUAGACAGAAAGUUUUAAUGCUUAUGUUGGUAGAGAGUUAAAGAAUAAUGCUUUCGAGAUAGGACGCAUAGGUGAUAAUCUGGCUAGAGUUAAAGAUGAACUUCACCGCGUUAGCAAAUAUGCUUCUAUGGUUGCUACUCAAGCUGAGCAAGUACUCAAAGCUCAAAAUGAUUUGCUUGAUGAGUUGAAUAAUAAAAAUGACUUUGCUAUUAGAUUGGCUACUAGAACUGGUAGAAUGACUCAAAAACCUUUGUAUCCUGAAGGCCACCCUAAAAGAAUUGAACAGGAUUCUCAGAAUAAUAAUCUAGAUGUUCCUAGUUCUUCUAAGAAGAAGAAAAAGAAGAAUCAUAGGACUGUGCAAACUUCUGGUGAACCUAAUAUUGAAACACUUGAGAAUCCCAAUAAUACUUCUAUCUAUGAUGUUGUAAUGCAAUCAGGUGAUGAACAUGAACCUGAUGAUAAUGCUAAUGAUAAUGUUCAUGUUGAUGCUCAACCUAGUAAUAACAAUGAUGUAGAGAUUGAGCCUGCUGUUGAUCUUGAUAACCCACAAUCAAGAAACCAAAGUUAUGAUAAGAGAGAUUUUGUUGCUAGGAAGCACGGUAAGGAAAGAGAACCAUGGGUUCAGAAACCCAUGCCCUUUCCUCCUAAACCAUCCAAGUCAAAGGAUGAUGAGGAUUUUGAGCGCUUUGCUGAAAUGAUUAGACCUAUUUUCUUACGUAUGCGCUUAACUGAUAUUCUUAAAGUAAAUCCUUGUGCCAAAUACAUGAAGGAUAUCAUCACAAAUAAAAGAAAGAUACCGGAAGCUGAGAUUUCCACCAUGCUUGCUAAUUACACUUUUAAGGGUGGAAUACCGAAGAAACUUGGAGAUCCAGGUGUUCCAACUAUACCAUGCUCCAUUAAAAGAAAUUAUGUUAGAACUGCUUUAUGUGAUAUUGGAGCCGGUGUUAGUGUUAUGCCUCUCUCUUUAUAUCGUAGACUUGAAUUGAAUAAGUUGACACCUACUGAAAUAUCUUUGCAAAUGGCUGAUAAAUCAACUGCUAUACAUGUCGGUAUUUGUGAGGAUGUGCCUGUUGUGGUUGCAAAUGUCACUAUCUUAACAAACUUUAUUAUUCUUGAUAUUCCUGAGGACGAUAGUAUGUCUAUUAUCCUUGGUAGACCUUUUCUUAAUACUGCAGGGGCUGUUAUUGAUUGCAACAAAGGCAAUGUCACUUUUCAUGUUAAUGGUAAUGAGCAUACGGUACACUUUCCAAGGAAACAAUCUCAAGUUCAUAGCAUCAAUUCUAUUGAAAAAGUUCCAACUAUCAUUUUUGGAGGUUUCGAAUUUCCUAUCCCUACUGUCAAGAAAAAGUAUGAUAUUCUUAUUGUUGGGGAUUUUCAUAUCCCCGUUGAGGUAACUUAGUGUUAUUCGAAAUUUCUCCGGUUCCGUGCUAUUCGGAAUGAGUUUGUUAACAAGACUUGAUCAACCUUGUUAGCGGGUUCAUUUUCAUGACGACGAGAUGGAUGAAACUAGAAGGCACAACCUUCUGUACCCUCUUUUUACUUUCUGUUAUUUAGAUUAAAUAAAGCAAAAAUAGUAUUAUCCGUCUGUUUUCUGAAUUAUCCGUGCAAUAAAAAAUAGUCCGAGAAUAAAAGUGCUCCAAAUGCCCUAUAAAUUUAGUAUGAUUUUUUCUCGAAUAUUUGAGGAUUUUAGGCACUGAAAACACUGCAAAAGGGGCAAGCACCAGGCCAUGAGAGAGGAGGGCACGCCCCCCUGUAGGGCGCGCCCCUUGUCUCGUGGCCCCCUGGUGGAUCCCCUCCACUUAUGCUAGCACCCACACACUCCAUCUUCCACCCAAAAAAAUCCCCAUCCAGCUCAAGCACGAGUUCUAGCUCGUUUUGCUGCGAUUUUCGAUCUCUUAGCUCAAAGCUCCAUUCACAAAACUGCUUUGGGAGAUUGUUGCUUGGUAUGUGACUCCUCCAUUGGUCCAAUUAGUUUUUGUUCUAGUUCUUUAUUCAUUGCGAAUCCUUGCUGUCUUGGUGACCCUGUUCUUGAGCUUGCAUGUUAAAUUUUUGAGGUUCCAAGUAGUUUUAAUGCAUGAUAUGGGCUCUAGGCACUUGUAGGAGUAGUUGCUAUCAAUCUUGUUUAGUUUUAUGCACUUUUAUUUUGAAGUUACUAAAAUUUCAGAAACUUUCAGAGAAAGAAAUAUGCUUGGAAGAAUGUACCAAGGUGGUUCCUCGGCAAAGAAAGGGCCAAGGAUUGCUAUACGUGAGCAAGACGUUGAAUUGCCGAGGAAUGCAUAUGUACGGGCUUGUGAGUGGCCAUCCGAUGAUUUUAUGAUCGAAGCAGGCUUCAAGGAGGAAUUUGACGCGUAUGUGCGUAAUGCUGAGCUGGAGGACUUCUUACAAGAUAAGUGUCCUCAAUACUCUCAAUUGACUGAUUCCUUUGUGCGGAGGUUUAAAUAUAAUUGUACGCUUAAUUCUCCUAGUGUCCUAUUUGAUAUUUAUGAUACAUCUUACACCAUGGACUUAGAGGAUUUUACAACUGCUUGCAAAUUCCCGUAGUGGGGUAAUAUUAAUGAUCCUCCCAAAUCUGAAUUUAGAGAUUUCCUUGCGAAUAUUACUAUGGGAGAAUCUAGGGACGUAGCACAAGCUACCAUAGGGAGCAUUCAUUUUCCUGCUCUACAUUACUUUGCUCUCUUUAUUGGUAGAUGCAUUAACUGUAAGGACAAGGUAUGUCACAUGUGUGCCCAUGAUCUUUGUGUCCUCAAGAGUGUUGUGUCAGGUUAUAAAGGGUAUAACUUGGGGGCAAUUGUUGCACGUAGGUUGCAGAAUAAUAGUAUAAAGAGAAAUUUCUUUGGAGGAAUUUAUGCAACCCGUGUGGCUAAUUUUCUUGGUAUAGCCCCGCGAGAAGGAGAUAUGAUAACGCCUCCUGUUUAUUUGGAUAAAGAAGCUAUGUUAGUCAUCAUUUUCUUGAGAGGAAUGUACAAUUUCUCCAUUAUCGACUAGUCUAUGACAGACGCAACGUCGUCCCUGUCACUCUUCCUGCUCCCUACCUUUUUGAUUAUCAGGCAAGAGGAAGAUAUGUUGUCACCAGGGAAGAAGCCACUGAAUAUGAGAGGGGGAUGGAGGCAGCUCGCCAACACGCUGCUGCCCAGGAGGUUGUUGCCUCUGCAUCUCAGUACAAUCCCAAUUUCACUUAUGGAUAUCAGCCAGGUGGUCCUUGGUAUUAAACCAACUUAGGCCAAAAGCCUAAGCUUGGGGGAGUACGUAUUUCUCACUGACUUUACAUUCAUGUUCACACACUAGUCAUCGGUGCUCAUACUCUUUCAUUGUAUUAUCCAUGGUAGUUUAAAUUCCUUUUUCUAGUCUUCUUCUUGUGUGUUUGAUAAACCUUGAGAAAAACCAAAAAAAUAGUUAGUUUAAUUUCCUUGCCUGUAGUAGGAAUUAAAAUGAAAAAACCAAAAAGAUUCCUAGUUCUUCUUUUUACUUGUUGGGAGCUUUCCCGUGUAAAUAGUUUCAUUUUCUUUUCUUUCCUUUGGGGGUCGAGAAGACCAUAUUGAAAAUGCUUAGUGGCUCUCAUAUGCAUGAUUGUUUAUUUAAUUAGAGCCCAUAUUACUUGCUUUCUCUUUUGAGUUGAAUGCUUGCAGAUUCCAGCUUAGUCCAAUGCACGUACACUCUUAUUAUUAUACACAUCGUUCGGUCGUGCGAGUGAAAGGCAAUAAUGACGAUAUAUGAUGGACUUAUUGGGACGAGAAAAGCUGGUAUGAACUUGACCUCCCUUGUUUUUGUAAAUAUGAUGAUUCAUCAUUCUCGAGUCAGCUAUUAUGAAGUAAACAUAUUUGCAAUGACAUUUAGAGAUUAUAGUUACUUGUGCCAUGCUUGAUUAUCUAUGAGUUAUAAUGGUUUACCUUGCAUGCCAACAUGCUAUUAGAAUGAUUACAAUGUGGUAUGAUGGGAUGGUAUCCUCCUUUAAAUGAACUGAGUGACUCGACUUGGCACAUGUUCACGCAUGUAGUUGAAUCAAAUCAACGCUGCCUUCACGAUAUUUAUGUUCAUGGUGGAUUAUAUCCUACUCAUGCUUGUACUUGGUGUGAAUUAAUUUUAAUGCAUGCUUACGACUGUUGUCGCUCUCUCAGUUGGUCGCUUCCCAGUCUUUUGCUAGCCUUCACUUGUACUAAGCGGGAAUACUGCUUGUGCAUCCAAACUCCUUAACCCCAAAGUUGUUCCAUAUGAGUCCAAUAUACCUUCCUAUAUGCGGUAUCUACCUGCCGUUCCAAGUAAAUUUUUAUGUGCCAAACUCCAAACCUUCAAAUGAAAUUCUGUUUUGUAUGCUCGAGCAGCUCAUGUAACAACUAGGGCUGCCUAUAUCUUCCAUGCUAGGCGGGUUAUUCUCAGAGGAGUGGACUCCGCUCCUCAUUCACGAGAAAGGGCCGGUAACCGAGAUGCCCAGUCCCAUGAUCCAAAAAGAUCAAAGGAAAUCAAAAUAAUUAAAAAAAACUCCCCCAGGGCUGUUGUAUGUUGAAGCACUCGUUGUUUCUAGCAAGCCAUGGAUUGAUGCUUGUUGGUGGUUGGGGGAGUAUAAACCUUUACCAUUCUGUUUGGGAACUGCCUAUAAUGCAUUUAGUGUGGAAGAUACAACCAUCUCAUAGGUGUUGCAUUGACAGCGAGUAUGCCGCUCAAAAUGUUAGUCAAUCUCUAUUUUAAAAUCGAGCUCUGGCACCUCUACAAAUCCCUGCUUCCCUCUGCGAAGGGCCUAUCUAUUUACUUUUAUGUUGAGUCAUCACACUUCUUAUUAAAAGCACUCGCUGGAGAGUGCACUAUCAUUUGCAUUCAUUAUUAUUGGUUUAUAUUGGGUAUGACUUGACUGGAUCUCUUUUACCAUGAAUUACAAUGUUUAGUCAGUCCUUGAUUUUUAAAGGUGCUCUGCAUUUAUGUUUUGCGGUCUCAGAAAGGGCUAGCGAGAUACCAUUUUGUUAUAUCAUGUUAUGAUUAUUUUGAGAAAGUGUUGUCAUCCGAGUUUUAUUAUUAUGACUCGCUAGCUGAUUAUGCUAUUGAUGUGAGUAAUUGUGAGACCUAUGUGUUAUUGUGAGUAUGGUUAGUUCAUAAUGUUUGCUGAAACUUGAAUGCUGGCUUUUCAUGUUUACAACAACAAGAGCAAACAGAGUUUGUAAAAGUUUUUCUUUUUCACUUUCAGUUUAUCAACUGAAUUGCUUGAGGACAAGCAAAGGUUUAAGCUUGGGGGAGUUGAUACGUCUCCAACGUAUCUACUUUUCCAAACACUUUUGCCCUUGUUUUGGACUCUAACUUGCAUGAUUUGAAUGAAACUAACCCGGACUGACGUUGUUUUCAGCAGAACUACCAUGAUGUUGUUUUAUGUGUAGAAAAGAAAAGUUCUCGGAAUGACCUGCAAAUCCACGGAGGCACUUUUCAGAAUUAAUAAGAAUUUUUGGUGAAAGAAUCAGGGCCAGGGGGCCCAAGGCCUGUUCACGAGACAGGGGGGCGCCCCCCCCCCUAGGGUGAGCCCCCUAUCUCGUGGGCCCCCUGGACCUCCUCCGACCUCAACUCCAACUCCAUAUAUACCGUCUCGCGGAGAAAAAAAUCAGAGAGAAAGUUUCAUCACAUUUUAUGAUACAAAGCCGCCGCCAAGCCCUAAUCUCUCUCGGGAGGGCUGAUCUAGAGUCCGUUCGGGGCUCCGGAGAGGGGGAUUCGUUGUCGUCGUCAUCAUCAACCAUCCUCCAUCACGAAUUUCAUGAUGCUCACCGCCAUGUAUGAGUAAUUCCAUCGUAGGCUUGUUGGACGGUGAUGGGUUGGAUGAGAUUUACUAUGUAAUCAAGUUAGUUUUGUUAGGGUUUGAUCCCUAGUAUCCAUUAUGUUCAGAGAUUGAUGUUGCUAUGACUUUGCUAUGCUUAAUGCUUGUCACUAGGGCCCAAGUGCCAUGAUUUCAGAUCUCAACCUAUUAUGUUUUCAUGAAUAUAUGUGUGUUCUUGAUCCUAUCUUGCAAGUCUAUAGUCACCUAUUAUGUGUUAUGAUCCGACAACCCCGAAGUGACAAUAAUCAGGACACUUCUCGGUGAUGACCGUAGUUUGAGGAGUUCAUGUAUUCACCAUGUGUUAAUGCUUUGGUCCGAUUCUCUAUUAAAAGGAGGCCUUAAUAUCCCUUAGUUUCCACUAGGACCCCGCUGCCAUGGGAGGGUAGGACAAAAGAUGUCAUGCAAGUUCUUUUCCAUAAGCACGCAUGACUAUUUACGGAAUACAUGCCUACAUUACAUCGAUGAACUGGAGCUAGUUCUAUAUCACCCUAUGUUAUAACUAUUGCAUGAGGAAUCGCAUCCGGCAUCAUUAUCCAUCAUUGAUCCAUUGCCUACGAGCUUUUCAUAUAUUAUUCUUCGCUUAUUUACUUUUCCGCUGCUACUGUUACAACUACUACAAAAACCCAAAAACAUUUAUCUUUACUGUUGCUACUGUUGCCAUUACUAUCAUACCACUUUUGCUACUAAACACUUUGCUGCAGAUACUAAAUUAUCCAGGUGUGGUUGAAUUGACAACUCAACUGCUAAUACUCAAGAGUAUUCUUUGGCUCCCCUUGUGUCGAAUCAAUAAAUUUGGGUUGAAUACUCUACCCUCGAAAGCUGUUGCGAUCCCCUAUACUUGUGGGUUAUCAAUGCGCAAGAUAAGCGUGAGUGCUAUGGAUGGCGUUCUCGUAGGGAGACGAAAGCGGAGCCAUAAUGGUGUAUUGAUAUGGUGAAUAUGUGGACUCGUGUGCGCCACCUCAAAAGAGUUAUUUGCAGUCAUAGAUAGGAUAGCCACCGAGUCAAAGCUGGCUUGCUGCAGUUAAACCCCACCACCCCUUUUGAUGAUAAUGAUGCAUAUGUAGUUAGUUCUGAUGUAAGUCUUGCUGGGUACAUUUGUACUCACGUUUGCUUAAUUUAUGUUUUUGCAGAGAGACUUCAGUCUUGCUAGUAGUUCCGCGUGGACUUUGACGUUUAGCUUGUUACCUCAGCUACAAUCUUGUGCCCUCGGCAGGAUCUUGUAGAUAGCCAGGCUUCUCAGCCCUUUUCAUUUGUAGUUGUCUGUACUCAGACAUGUUGUGCUUCCGUUGUUUGUAUGCUCUGAAGGUUGGGUCAUGGUACCCAUGAUUGUAAUACUUGGCACCUCGGAGCCUAUUGAAUAAAUACUUUGAGUUGUAGAGUCAUGUUGUGAUGCCAUGUUGUAUUUGCACAUAUCGAGCAUAUUCUGUGUAUGUUAUUGAAAUGCUUGGUAUGUGUGGGAUCCGACAACCUAGUUAUUUAUUCUUGGUAGCCUCUCUUACCGAGAAAUGUCUCCUAGUGCUUCCACUGAGCCAUGGUAGCUUGCUACUACUCCAAAACACUUAGGCUGGCCGGCAUGUGUCCUUGUUCAUUCCUGUGUCCGCCCCUUGGGGGAAAUGUCACGCGUUGUUCCUUCAAGUCCCUGUAGCUUGCUACGACUUGGGUUCAUACAUCGUUCAUCGACACAUUCGUUGCUGGGUCAUGUAUGCCUGUCCCUGUAAGUUAGCACCACCUUGGCUUUAUGACUAGUCAUGUCGGCCCAGGUUCUUUGUCAUAUGGAUGCUAGCAACACAGUCAUAUACGUGAGCCAAAAGGCGCAAACGGUCCUGGGCCAGGUAAGGUGGCACCCGUGGGAAUACCAUGCGUGAGGCUGCAAAGUGAUAUGAUGUGUUACAUGUUAGAUCGGUGUGACUUAGGAUCGGGGUGUUGACACAAUGAUAGACAGUCGUCAACACCUAACACAUAUAAAGAUCAGAGCAUAAAGAUCGAAACAAUCCAUAUCGUGUGGAUCGUACAGCUGAGUGGGCAAAUGAUUUUCGAGAGAUUCCUAGCACGCGCCAUAAUCUAAAUCUGAAUGUAAUGACAAACAUUAAUUAAAGACAAUUAAUACCUGAUUGUUUUCGACUGAGGCCAUAUUCCAAAAAUAUAUAUUAGCAGUCUCAUGCACGGAUUGGAUAUAUUGCAACACAUUAAAUACAUACCCGAAAAUGAUGAGAAUUAAUACCUGUAGAUUCUCUUAUGGGAUUAUAUUCCAGAAAUAGGCAACCUUAUAUAAGUAAUAAUAUAAUGUCCUAAAAUUACAUUUAUUAUAUGCCUAUAGUGACAUUCACUACCUUCAUAUAUAAAGUGUCCUCCUUCCAUCAAUAUUUCUACCAGGUAGUACAACACAAAGAACCGAAAAGCGUCUUUCAAGCAUAUGUCCAUGGGAAGACUUGCACAAGUGCCUAUCACCCUUAUUAUCGUCCUUCUUUACACCGGCCUCCUAGCCGAAGGUAUGUGUUCAUAUCUAAAAUGCAAGUAGUAUAUGAAGAAACAAAAUUGUAGUGGAGGCUUUGCUUGCUCAAAAUUCACACAAACUUGCCAGUACACAUGACACAAUGUUGUAAUAAUAUACUCAUGUAGCGUGAAAGAUAUAUAUUUCUAUGUAUUUUUUUCACUUUUGAACCAACUUGCAACAUGUAAAUUUACCGUGGUAUAAAUAAUAAUAUAAUAUACAUGUGAAGCAGGGGCAAUAGGAACCAACAAUACCGAGCAAGUCCGUCUAUAAUCCUUGAAGCUGAUGGGCUUAAUGCAGGAAAGCGACCUCAAGUUAUGCAGGCCAUGCCAUUGUUCCUGCAAGGACGAUAAAUGUGAUGCAACGAAAUGCUGCUAUCUGGCAAAGUGUACCACGCAACGACCUCUCACUUGUGUGCUAGACUUGAUUCAGUGCGGCAGUUGUGAUAAUUGCAAGUGAUCACUGCAUGUACAUGAUGGAUUGGUGGAUGACAUCAUGACAAUAAAGAUUUCCGAAAAAACCUUUACCUUUUUUGAGUGGACAAACAGAUUUGACUUUCAGCAAUUGAGGGGGGUUAAAUUUUUAUGAGUAGUAGUUAGAUGUAUAUAAGCAAACCAUCAAAACGGUGUCGUCAAUAGUCAACACGCCCAACAAUUGACAAAAAAAAGUACUCCCGUGGCAUUAGGUACUCAAGUGCUUGUGUCUGCCAUUAGCUAGACAUAGCAAAAGAGCCCUGCGUUGCAAGAAAAAUAUCACAUUUAGCAUCGACAAUGCUUACUUCUUCUCAUCGUUUAUCAGGUCUCCCUUUUAUUUCUUGUUGUCAUUUAUUUCUUUUAUGACGCACAUCCCAUCUUUUGCCGGAUCUCUUCAGAUUUUUCUGCCAUGCGCCCUUUCUUUUAGGACACUGAUAUUUGCCGAAUGUCCCCCAUCAUUUCGUUGGGUAUGAGCGAUCCCUCCGCCCGAAUGAAAUCGUUCGGUACGAGCGAUCCCUCCGCCUAAACGGAUGGGGAUCCUCCUAGCCCGAACCCACAGUGCGACCAGUUUGCUCGGCUUUCUUCGGCUUGGCUACCUAGCCCAACCAAUAGCGUAUGAAUUUUACCAUGUAAAAAUGUUACAAUGAAUUAUUAUCUAAAACCCCUAUUUUUUGAUACAAAAAAAUAGAGAAACCAUACAAUACAGAAAAUCACCCAUUGAAUAAAUGGCAAAUGAAUGAAAACUUUGUAGGUCAAAGGCAAGUCUGUAGAAAACUACUUAUAUCAAGAAAAUAUGUACACAAAAAAUGGCAAUUUUUUUUGCAUAUAUGGCAAAUCACGAUUAUACUGUGAAAACUAGGAAAAGCUUAAGUUGCCGAUGAAAAGAAUAAAUUGCCAUGAUUAUGCAAAUAAAUUUGCCAUGGGUGCAUGAAAAACUAAAGUAGCCAUGGGUAUGAAAAUAAAAUUGCCAUCACUUUAAAAAUAAAUUUUCCAUGAUAGUAGGAAAAACAAAAUUUGUCAUUGUCCAUUAAGAAGCUAAAUUGCUGCGGAACUGAAAAUAAGUUGCCAUGGGUAUUAAAAUUAAAUUGCCAUGUCUUUGAAUAUAAAUAUGCCGUGGUCGAGCGAUUGAGUUUGCCAUGGCCUAAGAAAUUAAGCAAAUUCUCAUUGAUGGCAAUAUAGAAAUUUUUGUGACAUGGCAAUUUUUGAUUUAUUUUCUUUAGCCGAUGGAAAAUUCGGAAAAGAUAAAAACUACAUUGACAUGACAAUUAUUAAAAAAAAUCGUGUUAUGAACAUAGUUCAUUGAUAUCAUAAAUAAAUCUCUAAAUCAUUACAAACGAUCUAAAAACAAUUUAUAAAUCUUACAAUCUCUAAAUAUGUAAGGUGCCAUGGCAAACAAAAAAGAAAAAUUGCCAUGUGCCUCGUAUAUGAAUUUGCCAUGUGCUCAUGUUUGAAUUUGCCAUGCUACAAAACAAAAGCCUAAAGAAAGAAAAAUAUUAUGAAUGUGCCAUGUGACCAUAUGAGAAUUUGCCAUGUGAUUUUUUUAAUUUUCCAUGUUAUGAAGCCCAUAGGAAUAUUUACCAUAUCCAUGGCAAACAUGUAUACAAAUCUUAUGCAAAUAUCGAGGCAAUAAUUACCAGGUGUGAAAAACCUAGAAGGAGCGCACGAUUUGCCAUGGAAAAAAUCAUUGUUGGCUUAAUGUUGUGCCAUUACAAAAAAUAUUGAUUAAUAACUCUACUUGAAACUUUUUGAUAAAAGUGAUGGCAACUAUAUGUCUGCUAAAAAUUGUCAUGAUCCAUAAUGUGAAUUUUCCAUGUGCUCAUAUAUGAAUUUGCCAUGUGCUCAUGUAUGAAUUUGCCGUGCUACAAAACAAAAGCCUAAAGAAAGAAAAAUGUUAUGAAUGUGCCAUGCGACCAUAAGAGAAUUUUCCAUGUGAACAAAAAUUAAUUUGCCAUGUUAUGAAGCCUAUAGGAAUAUUUACCAUUAUCCAUGGCAAACAUGUAUAAAAAUCCUAUGCAAAAAUCGAGGCAAUAAUUAGCAUGUAUGAAAAAACCUAAAAGGAGCACACAAUUUGCCAUGGAAAAAGUUGGCGUUGGCUUGAUGUUGUGUCAUUACAGAAAAUAAUUGAUUAAUAAUUCUGCUUGAAACUUUUUGAUAAAAGUGAUGCCAACUAUAUGUUCGCUAAAAAUUGCCAUGCUCAAUAAAGUGAAUCUACCAUGUGCUCAUGAAUGAAUUUGCCGUGCUACGAAACAAAGGCCACAAGAAAGAAAAAUGUUAUGAAUGUGCCAUGUGACCAUAAGCCAAUUUGCCAUGUCAACAAGAAUUAAUUUGCCAUGUCAUGAACCCAAUAGGAAUAUUUACCAUUAUCAAUGGCAAACAUGUAUAAAAAUCCUAUUUGUCUCAAAAAAUGUAUCAAAUCCUAUGCAAAAUCAAGGCAAUAAUUGCCAUGUGUGAAAAACCUACAGUAGCGCACAAUUUAGCAUGCAAAAAUCGUCAUUGGCAAUGCAUAUUAAGAAAAUAUCAUGUUUUUUUAUCAAAUUUGCCAUGCUUUAUGAAGAAAAUUUGCCAAUAAUGUGAAACAAUACAAAAAAUGAGAAAACAUUGCCAUGGCAAAUGCAUGCUCAAUUUUGUCAUGGUGUUUUUUUUACCAAAAUCACCAUCGUGUGUGUAAUAUAAUUGUCGUAUAUGUGAAAAUAACACAAAAAAAUGAUCAAGAAAAUUGCCAUGGAAAAAUUCAUAAACAAAAUUGUUGUGUCUUUUUGUUAUCAAAAUUAGAAAUGAAAGAAAUUUUCCAAGAAUGUGAAGUAAUAGAAAAUGAUCAAAAAAUUGCCAUGGGAAAUGCAUGUUAUAUUUUGCCAUGGUAGUUUCACCAAAAUUGCCAUCUUUUGCAUAGCAAAAUUGUUGUGUAUGUGAAAUAACACAAACAAAACGAUCACACAAAUUGCCAUGGCAAAUGCAUAGUAAAAAUGACAUGGCACAUGAAGUAAUAAUGCCAUGGUCCAUAAAAAAUUAUAGAUUUGUCAUGUGCUAUGAACUAAAUUUGCCAUGAUAGUAACAUUGAAAUUGCCAUGGUGAACUAGAAAAUGAUGUCAAAAAUAGAACUAGCUAGCAAAAAGCAUAAUCCAUGAUUUGUAGUAUCGGGCAUGGUGAAUUGAAAAUGCCAUGGUGAAUUUUUGUUGGCAUGGGUAAAACAAUUUCAAUAUCACAUCGCAAAAAAGGAUCUCAAAGUAACCAUGGCAACUUUCUUUGAAUAUACAUGGCAAAGACACAUCAAAAAGUUGACAUCAUAGCAAACAUAUGCUUAGAAACAAAAAAAAAUAUGCUUUACUUGCUAUGAAAACACAUCAAAAGCCACAUAUGCUUUUAGUUGCCAUACAUUUGCUGAUGAAUUAACAACAAGGAUUGCACGGGAACAAAAUGACAAUCCCUGCUCUCGUGAUGGCCUCACCUACCACCCACCCUCUCGCCUCACCUACCGCGAGUAAUGGCGCCGCAAUCACCGCCAUUAAUGGCCGUGCGGGCUUAUCUAGCCCUCCUCUCCCCCUUGCCACAUCGUCUCCCUCCCCUGGCGACUACUCCUUAUCAGAUCUCACGGACCAGUUGAGCGAGAGAGAUGGUGGGGGGCUCGCGGAGGGGUGCAAGAGCGCGGCGGGCGCGUCCCAACCACCAGGCGGCGGCGCCGAUGGCCUCUCUGCCGCCGGUGCUGGUGUUGCAGUUGCCAGUGACCGAGCAGGGAUCGCCAGAGGCAUAUGUGGAGAUGGUUCGCGUGGUAGGGGAGCGAUUCCCGAACCAUGACAACUGGCUGGCGAUCCUCAUCGAGGUCAUCCAACACGCGACGUUCGAGGAGCGUGCGCGAUUCGCCGGCGACGAUGGGGGGAUGGAUUACGAGCUCAUCUUCUAGGCCAUCCAGGAGGCGGAUUUCACGGAUCCGAGGCAGGCGGCGAAGUGGGCAAGAUUCAGGACAAGGAAUCCGUCGCCGCUCAACAUUCGGCUGCCACCGGUGGUGUAGAUCGCCAACAUCCCGCCGGAGUACCUGCCGCCGGGGACUGUUCUGCCACGGGUCCCCUAAGACAUGGGGAGCCCGGCGUGCAUGCCCCGCAGGGCUUCUCCAACCUGUGGGUGCAGCAUGGGAGGAGCGAGGCGCACUUCCUCAAUCUUCCACCAUGGCCGGGCGACCGCGGGGAGAUCCCACAUCUCUGGGGUAAGGUGAGGAAAUUCAGACCCAAUUCACGUGCUCGUUUGAGAUCUGGUAGUGAUUUGGGCGUUGAAUUGAAUGUUAAGGAAGGUAUGGCUGUCCCUUGUGAGAGUAUAUGUGAAUCCACUCCUAUUUUCCCUGAAUCAGUUAGAGAUUCUUGUGAAUCUGUGAUUCCGGCGAGCCAGUCCACCGCCGACGAGCUCGCUUAUGCGGGAGGGGCGGGCUUGGUUUCAAAUCCGGUGGUCCCACAAGCAGGGCCGAAACCUCAACCACUGCCGUUGAUUUCGGGUCGUGUGGUUGGGAAGAAAACGGUCCAUAAAAAUACGCUUUCUACAUCUGCUAGCGGGGAUGGAGAGGAAGUGGCGGAUUUUUAUGGCCAACUUUUGGUGGUUCCCUCUCCCAACCGCCGCCAGCGCCUACAUAUAGAGAGGCAGUCGCCACCAAACCCUAAUUUCGCAAUCCCCAAAUUGUUUUGGGUUAGAAAGGAUCUGUUUAGGGAUAGAAAUUUCUCAGCACAAGAUUGUUUCCCGAUUCGGGCAGUGAGCAGAUUUGAUCUGACCCCUACUAUCUUUAAAAUUUCCACUGAGAAGCUAGGUUUCCCUAGAUCGUUUGUUGAAGUGAUUAAGGGAGGGAUGGAGCGAGGGCAGGGAGGGCAGCGACAACGCUGUCCGCCGUCGGGGAAGAAACCUGCGCCACCGGAGGGGAAAGCUGCGGCCCCGCCGGCCGGUGCUGCUACAAUGGCAGGUGAUGUCAAGCAGGGGCAACAACCUCCCAAGCAGGGGCAGCAACCUCCCAAGUAGGCGACGCGGGGGGUCCAGCAGCAGCAAGUGGUCGAGGCAACAGUCCAAGCUCCACCUCCUCCUCCUGUUGCUACAGUUCAAGCGUUGGAUCCAAGGUACAAGGACAUGACCUGCUUUAACUGUAGUUGGCUGAGGCACUAUGUGGGGAACUGCAUUGAACCGAAGAAAUGCUUUAUUUGCGCAGGAGGUCAUAACGUCAAUAACUGCGCUGCCUGGGUGAAACCACAUCCUACAGCGACAUACUUUGGCAGCGUAGCAGCUGGCCUGGGGUUUUAUCACAUUGAUGUUCCUACCGCGUCAGAACUAAGCUGGCUUAAUUACAAGAACUGUGCAGUUCUCAAAGUUGUUAAGGGUGAGGUUUCUGCCUCGGAGUUGCUGAUUCAGCUUAAUGGGAUUUUUUGUAAAAACAAAGAAUGGCCUUGGCAGAUUAGGGAUUUGCGAGAGAAGAAAUUAUUGCUGAGAUUUCCACCUUGGAAGAAUGUGGAAGACCUGAUUGAGUUUCCUGCUUUUGAGCUCCCAAUUGAUGGUGUUUCUAUCAAGAUCUGUGAAUGGGUGGGAAUGUUGGAUGAAUUUGGAGGACUUACUGAGGCAUGGGUUCAAAUUGAAGGGAUUCCUCCAAAGUGGUGUGCCUGGAAGGUUUUUUCCCAGAUUACAGCCUGCUUUGGGAUCCUGGUAGAUGUGGACUGGAAUGGUAUAUUUAAGAGUUUCUAUGAGAAUAUCAGAGUGAAAGUGGCUUGUAGAGAUCCCAGGAAAAUUCCUUUUGAGAUGUUAGUGGAAAUGAAAAGGAAGCUAUACAUUCUGUUCUUCACUGUUGAGGGUUUUGAGCACUUGGGGGAGGACUCUGAUGGAGAUGAUCUAGAUCCAAAUGUGGACAAUAUGGAGAAAGAGGAGGAAGAUAACAAUGAAGACAUGUCUGACAAAGAUAAAACACAAGAAGAAGAUAUGGGGGACCUAUUGAUGAACUGGAUAAGGCUAAUUUCCCUUCCAAGAACACUCUGGCUGCAAGCUCUAGUCAGUCAAACCCACAGAGAGCUGCUUCUGCUGUUGAAUUUCACCCUCCCAACAUGCUGGACACAAUUCAUGAGGAUUUUGUGGAUGAAAUUAGGAGCAAAAUGCCAGAGAAGAAGAAAUAGGCAGAUAAUGAAAAAUCCACUCCUGUAAAGACCUUUCCUUCUAGAAGAUCUGAUUCCUUGUCAGUACAUAUGGAAUAUUGCUCUGCACAAUUAAGCAAAUUUGAAAUGGUUGAGACUGAUGAGGAGGAGGAAGAAUUGGUGGAUGAAAUGCAAUGUUUACCUGAUGAUUUGGCUUUGGCAAUGGGAUCUGUCAAAAGAUCUCUGCUGGAAACUCUGGAAAGUGUGGAAUCGGUAUAGAAGAAAAAACCAAGCGUCAAAAAUUCUCCUACUUGGGGACCAGUUCUUGGUAAAUCAUUUGCUAUCCUUGACCCUGAUGUUCUUAUCUCUAACACUAGUAAAGUUGAUUUAUGCGUUGGGAGUAGCAUUGAAGAACACGUAGCUAUUGUCAUGGAUAUGAUAGAUGAGGAGAAAAAUCGUUGCCUUAAGUUUGCUGAUGAUAACUCGGAGAUUGUUCUCCCUGAGAACCUUGACUUAGAAACAGGGGUUGAUGAGAUCGAAGCUAUUAACAGUGACCUUCACAUUAAUGGUUCGGAUGGCAUUGCUGGACCGUUAAUGGAAAGUCCUAUCUUGAACACAAAAAAGAAGCCUUGUGGCUUGUCGCACCCAUUUAAGAUUAAAUGAUAGUGCCCUUUUGGAAUAUUCGGGGUAUGGGACAAACUGGGAAAACUCUGUGCCUAGGUGACUUUAUUAAUAAUAAUCGUCUGGACUUUGUGUGUUUCUUUGAAACGAAGAAAGAAAAUAUUGAUAAGUGUGUGCUUAGAUUUAUAUCUGGUAAGGAGGAAUUCGUAUGACAUUUUUUACCGGCUGUGAAUACUACUGGGGGAUCCUUGUGGGUCUUAGGAGUGAUUUGUUUGAGGUGAUAGGAUUUAUUAAUAAAGAGUUUUGUAUUGUGGCUACUGUUAAAAAUAAAUGUGAUGGUUUUAUUUGGCAUGUAGUGGCUAUUUAUGGCACUUCUUACAAUGAUAGGAAGUUAGAGUUUAUUGCUGAGCUACAUAACACUAUGGAUACCCUCACUUAUCCAGUUUUGAUGGGAGGGGAUUUCAACUUGGUCAGAUCGGCUGAUGAUAAAAAUAAUGGGAUUAUUAAUAACCAGUUUUCCUACCUGUUUAAUGAUUGGAUCAAUAAAUGGUCCCUUAUGGAGAUCAAGAGCGCUAAUAGGAAAUUUACUUGGAGUAACAACCAGAAUAAUCCUAUCUUCGCCACUAUAGACAUGAUUUUUCUUUGGGUUCUUGGGAUACCAAAUUUCCUCAAUCUGUGGUGACAGCUCUCCCACGUAUUGGGAGUGAUCAUACCCAUCUCCUUAUUGACACUGGUGCUCGGCGGGUUACCACCCCCAAAAUAUUUUGGUUUGAAAAGUGGUGGCUUGACCAACCUGAUUUCAAAGAUUUAUUGUGCAAUAUCUGGAAUACCCCAGUUCCUGGCAAGACGGCCAUGGAUAUCUGGAUGAAUAAAAGUAGAUUAUUUAGGAAAAAGGUUAAAGGUUGGAGCAUUAACAUAGAGGCAGGUAUUAAGAAGAGGAAGAGAGAGCUUCUGCCCGAAUUUGAUAUUCUCGAUGUUUUUUCGGAGAGGAAUCAAAUCAAUGACAUGGAUAGGCAUAGGAUGGAGGAGAUUAAAAAGGAACUUAAUAGCAUUUGGAAUAAGGAAGAAACUACUUUCUGGCAGCGCUUUAGAGAUCGUAAGAUUGUUGAUGGUGACAAAAACAAUGCUUAUUUUCAAACGCUAGCUAACCACAGGCAUAGGAAGAACCACCUAUCUGAGCUAAAUGGGGACAAUGGCCCUGUCUACAGUACCAAGGAGAUGCUGGAAGUAGCUACUACCUUUUAUAAAAACCUCUUUGGAGCUGGGGAAAAAAACCUCAUAUUCAUCUUGGGCCUUCCUUUUGGGAGGAGGGUGAUCUGGUUACCGAAGAAGAGAACGAUCAUCUUCAAAGUAACUUCUCUGAGGAGGAGAUCAAGGAAGCCAUCUUUGGGUCAUAUGCACAUGGUGCACCUGGACCAGAUGGAUUGUCAUUUCUUUUUUAUCAAACUUUUUGGGAUGUUAUCAAAGCUGAUUUUAUGGCACUGGUGAGAGAUUUUGAAGAAGGCAAGCUAGAUUUGCAGAGGUUGAAUUUUGCUUUGAUAGUCCUUAUUCCUAAAGAACCUGACGCCAAGGAUUUAAAGAAAUUUAGGCCAAUCAAUUUGAGCAACUGUGGUAUUAAAAUCUUUUCUAAAGCCAUGACCAAUAGGGUUUCCCCUAUUGGUCGCAGAUUAAUCUCUUCGAACCAAACAGCGUUUAUUAAAGGGAGAUAUAUAUUAGAGAGUGUUGUCACGGCUCAUGAAGUGAUUCAUGAGGUCAAGAAAUCUGGUUCUCAAGGUCUAGUGCUUAAACUAGAUUAUGAGAAAGAAUAUGACCGGGUUAACUGGGAUUUCUUGUUUGAGAUGUUACAAUCUAGGUUUUUUUUGCCCCAAGUGGAUUGCUUGGAUUAAAAGUACCUUAAUUAACAGUACUUUUGCUGUGAGAAUUAAUGAUACUAAUGGAAACUAUUUUGUUGGUGGGAAAGGGCUUAAACAAGGGGAUCCCCACUCCCCCUUGUUGUUUAACUUGGUAGCUGAUGUGUUUACAAAAAUGCUUUAAAAAGCAGCCUCCCAAGACCUAAUUUCUGGGCUUCUGCCCAAUAUAAUUCCAGGGGGGUGGUGAGUCUGCAAUACGCAGACGGCACUAUCCUUUUUCUGGAGAAUUCGGCUCAUAAAGCCAGGAACUUUAAGUGGUUUUUAUCAUGUUUUGAAUCACUUUCAGGGAUGAAAAUUAAAUUUCAUAAAAGUGACUUAAUGACCAUCAAUAUUGAUGAGGAAGUGGCUAAUGACUUUGCCCAGAUUUUCUGUUGCAAAAAAGGGCGCUUUCCUAUUAAAUAUUUAGGCGUUCCUUUACAUUAUGACAAGUUGAAAAGGGAGCAUCUCCAACCCAUUAUAGAUAGUAUUAUUAAGGGCAUUUCUGGAUGGCUUGGGAGAUAUCUCACAUAUAGAGGCAAAAUUAUCUUGCUAUGUGCAUGCUUCAUUAGCAUACCUGCCUAUCUCAUGUCUGUCAUUAAGUUUCCCAAAUGGGCUAUCAAUGCCAUUAACUCCCAAAUGGCUCACUUCUUUUGGGGUAAUAUUGGGGACCAACACAAAUACCAUCUAGCUAAAUGUGGUUUUGUUACUAGGAAGAAAGAAUAUGGAGGGUUGGGGAUUCCUAACAUCAAAGAAUUUAACAUGGCCUUAUUGGCUUCCUGGGGCAAAAGGUUCUUUGAUGAAUCUGAUGCAGACUAGAAGAAAAUCAUCCGUUACAAGUAUAGAGUGAAUACUCCCAACCUACUUUGGGCAAAAGGAGAUGGUGGCUCUACCUUUUGGAAGAGCAUCACUUGGGCGUUAGCUGCUGCUAAAAAUUUCUACAGAUGGAGAUUGGGCAAUGGUGAAUUAAUUAGCUUCUGGCAUGAUACCUGGGUUGGGGAAUGUUCCCUGAAGGUGCAAUUCCGGGAAUUAUAUUGUAUCUGCAACCAAACGGAAUGCACUGUAGCUCAGGUGUGGGACGGAUAGGAACUUAAGUUAUCUUUUAGGAGAUGCAUAGACCAAAGUGGGCUUGACAGAUGGGAUUUGCUGCAGAGACUUGUUCAACAGUGUAUCUUAUCAGAUGAACCUGAUAUCCCGAAUUGGUCCUUGGAACCUAAUGGGUUAUACUCUGUGAAAUCAUUUUAUAAAAGCAUCAACUUUGGGGGGAUAGCUUCUGCUAUCAAAGAUGAUCUUUGGAAAAUUAUAUGCCCUCAGAAGAUACAUGUAUUCUUGUGGUUGUGUGCUCAUAAUAAAAUUCUAACUAGGGAUAAUCUUUCUAAAAGAAGGGAGGUGGAGGACCUUUGCUAUCUUUUUUGUGCAGAGCUCGACUCUGUACAGCAUUUGAUGUUUGACUAUGUAGUUGCUCGGCAUGUGUGGGUAUUUGUAUCCGACUUCUUUGAGAUUGAUAGAAUUGCUAAUUUUGACGACAUCUUUGCUUUCUGUCGAGUACAUAAAAAAAAGCCUGUGCUUAACAUGGUUAUUGCUGCUUCCUUGUGGAGCUUGUGGAGACUAAGAAACAGUUUCUGUUUUCAGGGUCAGAAAUGGAGAAACAUGAACUGCAUUCUUGCAAGAUUAAGCUGUUAUUUGCACUAGUGGAAGGUUCUCUGCGAUGAUGCUCAAGCAACCCUGUUGCAAAGGUGUAUCCUUCUGUUGGACAAGAGGCGUGGAGAACUAAUGCGGAUAGCCUAGAAGUGAGGUGUGGGAGGGGAGCAUGAAAGGCGCGCGUUUCGAGUGGAAGAAAUCUUAUUUGUUCCUUCUCCUUCUGAUUUGGUUAUGUAAUAAGUAAUACCUAGUUUUCUUUUCCUAUUCUGUUGGAGAGAACUUCUGCUCUCGAGCUCUAGGCAGCGUAGUCUCCUAGAAUGUUGCUUUAUUCUCUGUUUAGGCGCAUAUUGGAACUGGUUGUGACUGCUUUAUCUGCUUCAAUCUAUAAAGUUGGGGCAGGGGGGCAACCCCUUUCAUUCACAAAAAAUUAACAACAAGGAUUACAGUGAGAGGGCAAUCACAAAAAUCCGUUAUCCUCUCAUAGGACAUUACAUGGCAUUUUUAGGAAGACUGAACUGGAAAAAUUGAACAAAGUGUGGUAUGCAGACAUAUGAAGCAGAAAAGGAGUGUUAUCAUACAGAUUCAUUGUUGGAUUGGCAACAAACUAGUGGAUAAAAAAGACAAUAUGGGGUUCAUGGUGCAAGAAAUUAGCAUAGAAUCAAUGUGAAAAAGGGGGGAAUAGGUGCAACCUGCAGGGGAGGGAGUCAACGCCCACAACGGCUUUGUGUAGUAUGUGUCGUGCUGGGCGAGCUCGAACCCAGGAUUCGGUCCUUCGACCUCCUCCGACACGGUGGGGAAGGGUGGGGUUGAGAGCUGGGAGAUGAUGGCAAAUCCUCUCAAGGACGCGUCCUUGCUGACCUGGUCGUCAUGGUCUACUUUCACCUAUGGCGUGACGGCCUGGUGCUCGUGGCGGUGGCGAGGUAUGAUACAUCUCCAACGUAUCUAUAAUUUUUUAUUGUUCCAUGCUAUUAUUCAAUCUUCAAUAUUUUAUAUGACAUUGUAUAUCAUUUUUUGGGACUAACAUAUUAGCUUAGUGCCAAGUGCCAGUUGUUAUUUUUUGUUUGUUUUUUGUUUUCCAGGAUAUGAGAACUAAAUGAAGUCCAAAUGCCACGAAACUAUUUAACAAUUUUUUUCUGGACUAAGAGACACUAGAAGAUUUGGGGGGAGGUCAGAAGACGAAGGAGUGGCCCACAAGCCACCAGGGUGCGCCUAGGGGGGUAGGUGCGUCCUGGUGCCCCAUGGGCCCCCUUUGCUCCGUUGAUCUAAUUUCACCUCUAUAAAUUCUCUAAAAUCGGGAAACCACUAAGGAGCCACCCAAAACACUUUUUCCACCACCGCAAGUCUUUGUCCUCACGAGAUCCCAUCUGGAGGCCUUUUUCGGCACUCUACCGGAGGGGAAAUCAAUCACGGAGGGCUUCUACAUCAAUUUUACUUCCUCUCCAAUGAUGUGUGGGUAGUUUACCAUAGACCUACGGGUCCAUAGCUAGUAGAUAGAUGGCUUCUUCUCUCUCUUUGAUCUUUAAUAUAAUGUUCUCCUUGAUGUUCUUAGAGAACUAUUCGAUGUAAUCUUUUUGCGAUGUGUUUGUUGGGAUCCAAUGAAUUGUGAAUUUAUGAUUAGAUUAUCUGUGAAUAUUAUUUUAGUCUUCUCUGAAAUUCUUUUAUGCAUGAUUGUUAUAGCUCUGUAUUUCUCUAUGAUUUAUUGAUUUGGUUUGGCUAACUAGAUUGAUUUAUCUUGCAAUGGGCGAGGUGCUUUCUAAUGGGAUCAAUCUUAUUGUGAUCUAUAUCCCAGUGAUUGCUUGUAUCUGCGUUGGUAAUUCUCCGAAGAGGAGAGGAUGAUGCAGCAUAGCAACGGUAAGUAUUUCCCUCAGUUAUGAAACCAAGGUUAUCAAUCCAGUAGGAGAACCAAGCAACACUAUGUAAACUUCAUCUGCACACAAAUACCAAAUACUUGCAACCCAAUGCGUAAGAGGGGUUGUCAAUCCCUCGGUAUUGACAUAGAUUAAACUGUAUGAGAUUCGAUAAAUAGAUCUAGCAAAAACACAAAAUAAAAUAAAUAAAUAAAAAGUGCAGCAAGGUAUUUUUUGGUUUUUGGAAUAAUAGAUCUGAAAAUAAUAUCAUAGGAAAUAGACCCGGGGCCCGUAGAUUUCACUAGUGUCUUCUCUCGAGAAAAUAGCAUACGGUGGUUAAACAAAUUACUGUUGGGCAGUUGAUAGAAGAGCAAAUAAUUAUGACGGUAUCCAAUGCAAUGAUCAUGUAUAUAGGCAUCACGUCCAAGAUUAGUAUACCGGAACGAUUCUGCAUCUACUACUAUUACGCCAUACAUUGAUCGCUAUCCAGCAUGCAUCUAAUGUAUUGAGUUCAUGGAGAAACGGAGUAAUGCAAUAAGAACGAUGACAUGAUGUAGACAAGGUCUAUUCAUGUCAGAAUAGACCCCACCUUUUUAUCCUUAAUGGCAACGAUACAUGCGUGUCACUUCUCCUUCUAUCACUGAGAGUGAGCACCGCAAGAUCGAACCCAUCACAAAGCACCUCUUCCCAUGGCAAGAAAAAUCAAUCUAGUUGGCCAAACCAAACCAAAGUUUCGGAGAAGAAACAUGAGGCUAUAAUAAUCAUGCAUAUAAGAGAUCAAAGAAUACUAAAAUAAUAUUCAUAGAUAGAUCUGAUCAUAAACUUACAAUUCAUCGGAUCCCAACAAACACACCGCAAAAAGUCAUUACAUCAAAUAGGUCUCCAAGAACAUCGAGAAGAACAUUGUAUUGAGAAUCAAAAAGAGAGAAGAAGCCAUCUGGCUACUGCAUACGGACCCAUAGGUCUGUGGUAAAAUAAUCACACAUCAUUAGAGGAGAAACCCCUCUAUGAUCGUGUUCCCCUCCGGCAGAGUGCCGAAACAGGGCUCUAGAUUGGAUCUCAUGGUUCUGGAACUUGCGACGGCUGGAAUUGUUUUUCGUCAACUCACCUAGGGUUUCUGGAAUAGGUAUUUAUAGAGCUGAGAGGCAGUGGAAAGGACCCCCAUGGGCCCCACUAUUGGGAAACAUUGUAUGGAAAACAAAAAAAAUCUACACACACGCAAGAUCUAUCCAUGGAGAUGCAUAGCAACGAGAGGGGAGAGUUGUCUAUGUAUCUUCGUAGACCGUAAGAGGAAGCGUUUGUUAACGCGGUUGAUGUAGUCAAAUUUCUUCGUGCUCCAAUCGAUCGAGUACCGAACGUACGACACUUCCACGUACAACACACGUUCAGCCCGAUGACAUCCUCGCCUUCUUGAUCGAGCAAGACGGAGAAGUAGUGGAUGAGUUCCAGCAGCACGACGGCGUGGUGACGGUGAUGAUGAAGUUAUCUUCGUAGGGCUUUGCCUAAGCACUACGAAAAUAUGACAAAGUGUGUAAACGGUGGAGGGGGCACCGCACACGGCUAAGCAAUUAACCGAGGGUGUAAACGGUGGUCAGGAACGUGAAGCACUAGCGAAGGGUGGCCAUGUCAUGAAGCUGACGAAGAAUAGAAUCCAGAGAAGUGAACAGCCAAAGCGUGAAGUCUUUGGUGAAGAAGAAGAAAAUGAUAGACAUGCUAUAAAGUUGAUGGAGGAGAGUCGAAUCCAGGGAAGUGAACAGCCAAAGCCUUCAAAGCCUACUAUGAAAGAUUGUAUCGAUGAACGGAGGCAAGUGCCUCACCAAUAUGUGCUAGCUAGCAAGGAGAAGUCCCCAUUUAAUGAGCAGAAGCGACCAGCGUUCAACGAGGUGAGUGACUUGACCUUUUAAUUUCUCCUUGUUUGUUUCUGCUUCCAUUUGCUAUUGGGGUGUGCCAAUAUUUAAGUUGUGGCUCAUCGCAAUUUCUCGGUUCAGUAAUAUUUUCAGUGACCAACAUGGAAAAUACUUUUCUCUUGGUCGUAAUGAAACCAACACACAAUCCUGGUAGCCACUUUGAAUGUAACGUGUUAAUUAACAUGUAUGUGUUAUAUAGGAAAUGUGGAACAGAAAUGAUACCAAAUAGCUUAUUGAUCUUGUUUCAAUAAAAAUGUCAGUUUACUAAUGGAAGUGUUGAGUUACUUUAGUUAGGCAAAGUCUUUGGAUAUGCAACUAGUUUAGUUAGGCAAGCUCUUCAGAUAUGCAAACUUUUAGUUAUGCAAGUUCUUCAGAGAUGCAACUACUUUUCUUUUUGAAACUAGGAAAAAUAAAGAUUAUGUUGAGAGUUUGCGGUAUCGAUUGGGUAUGAAAAAUGUCUUUACAGUUUCGGGUAAAGGCAAAGGUGGCGGCUUAGCGGUUUUUUGGGAUGAGUGCUUCUCUGUGGAGUUAAACAAAUUUGGCGAUCAUUUUAUUGACUUAUAUAUUUGCAAGAGUGGUGGACCAGAAUGGAGGUGCACUUUGGUUUAUGGCGAACCGAAGGCGAUUCAAAGGUACGUAAUGUGGGAGCUUUUGAUACGGAUUAAAUCUCUUGGUUCUGGUCCUUGGUUUAUGGUCAGAUAUUUUAAUGAAGCUAUGUGGAAAUAUGAGCAUUUCUCUCGUAAUACAAGAUCACAUAAACUCAUGGCAAACUUCUGGGAGGUUCUCUUGGAGUGCAACCUAUUUGAUCUGGGGUUUUAUGGUGUGCCUUGGACGUAUGAUAAUAAGCAAGAUGGAAAUCGAAAUGUAAAGGUGCGGCUGGAUCGUGCGGUCGCAUGUCCACAAUGGACUUCUAUGUUCCCUCAUUGUAAGGUGUCACACAUUAUUUCUUCCAGGUCAGAUCAUUGCCCUUUGUAUAUUCAGUUGAUGGGUAAUCAGCCUAACGUCGCUUCUAAAAAGCAUUUGAGAUAUGAAGCUUUUUGGGAGAGGGAAAGUCUGGCUUUGGACGAACAGGUUAAAGCGUGCUGGAAUAAAAGUUUGCAAGUGAGGGAUUUGAAGGAUGUGGCGACUAAUCUGGGUAAUCUAAUGAAAUCAUUGCAUUCCUGGAGUCAGGAUCAUAUUGGUUAUCUCCCCAAAAAAUUGGAAGCUGCUCGCAAAAGAUUAAAUGCUCUUUUUAAAAGGAGCGAUAAGGCGGCCGUGAUGGAGAGAAAGGAAAUUCUCCUGGAGAUGGAUGAGCUACUUAUAAAGGAAGAAGUUAUGUGGAAACAAAGGUCAUGUAUUGAGAAAAUGAUUUUGGGGGACCAUAGUACAAAAUUUUAUCAGAGAAAGGCCUCGUGGAGGGUGAAAAAAUAAUAAUAUUUCUGCUAUUAAGAGAAGUGAUGGGUCUCUUACGGAGAACAUGGAUGAAAUUACAGGUAUCACUAACUCUUUUUUCGAGCAGCUUUAUACGUGUGACACUAAUGUUGACCCCUCUCGUAUUAUUUUGAUUGUGAAACCUCUCUUCAAUGAUGAUAUGAACGCGGAGCUUUGUAAACCUUUUUCUAAGGAAGAGAUUAGUGAUGCUCUUUUCCAGAUUGGGCCUCUAAAAGCACCAGGUCCAGAUGGGUUUCCGGCUUGAUUCUUUCAGAGAAACUGGGGUUUAAUCAAGGAGGACAUUGUUAAGGCGGUUCAACAGUUUUUUAUCUUGGGUGUUAUGCCCGAAGGCGUAAAUGACACCAUCAUUGUCCUUAUACCCAAGGUGAAGAACCCGCAAUCCAUCAAAGAUUUUAGACUUAUCAGCCUGUGUAAUGUCAUCUACAAAAUUAUUUCAAAGUGCAUGGUGAAUAGAUUGAGACCUCUUUUGGAUGGUAUGAUUUCUCCCACUCAGAGUGCUUUCAUUGCAGGAAGGUUAAUUUCUGAUAAUGCACUUAUGGCCAUCGAAUGUAUGCACUCGUGGAGUAUGUUAAAAGAUCAGCGUGGAGAGUUUUGUGCAUAUAAGUUGGACUUGGCAAAAGCAUAUGAUCGAGUGGAUUGGCAAUUUUUAAAGAGCAUGUUGGGGGCUUUUGGUUUUGCGCCAAUUUGGAUUAAUUGGAUUAUGACGUGUGUUACAUCAGUGGGAUUCUUAGUUCAGUUUAAUGGCCAGUUGUUGCAUCCUUUUUAUCCAUCUUGUGGUCUCAGGCAAGGGGAUCCCUUAUCCCCGUAUUUGCUCUUCUUUGUGGUCGAGGCCCUCUCUUUGCUGUUAAAAGAUGCAUGUGAAAAAGGUGCUCUAAAAGAGUUUCAUGUGAACAGACAAGCUCCAGGUAUUUCUCAUCUAUUGUUUGUGGAUGACAACCUCCUUUUCUUCAGGGUAUCCAUUGAUCAAGCCUUAAUCAUUAAAAAUAUCCUAUCGACCUAUGAGGGGGGAACUGGUCAGCUUCUGAGCCCUGAUAAGUGUUCGAUUAAAUUUGGCAAAAAGUGUAGUAUGGAAGAUCAGGUGGCCACAAUGGUCAUUCUUAAUAUUACUGCAGAAGGUUUUGAGGAUAAGUACCUUGGUUUAUCGGUACCUGGGGGUAGAAUGAAGGUUGGUAAGUUCCAUUCGACCAAAGAUAAUGCUCUAAAAAGAUCAUCAGAUUGGAUUGAAAAUAAUGCUUCAAGUGGUAUUAAGGAAAAUCAAAUCAAGGCGGUGUUGCAAGCGCUCCCAGUGUACGCCAUGGGCAUCUUCAAACUUCCAGCUUCUUUAUGUGAUGAGUUGGCUCAUAUUAUAAGGAAUUUCUAGUGGGGAGACGAAGAAGAUAGGAGGAAAAUUCAUUGGUUAGCUUGGGAUAAACUCACUAAGCCAAAAAGACAUGGAGGCAUGGGUUUCCGAGAUCUUAGGUUAUUUAAUCAAGCUCUCUUGGCCAAACAGGCGUGGCGGCUAUUGGUUUACCCAAAUUCUUUGUGUGCUAAGGUUUUGAAGGCAAAAUAUUACCCCAAUGGCCACAUUCUGGAUACUGUGUUCCCGCAAGCUACAUGAGUGAAUUGGCAAGGUAUUAUGCAUGGCUUGGAACUAUUAAAAAUUGGGUCAUAUGGAGAGUGGUUGAUGGUAAAAAUGUAAAUAUUUGGAGAGAUAACUGGCUACCUAGAAACUCCAGCCUUAGGGUUACAGCAAAGAAAAAUCGCACUAGACUGAAAUGGGUGUCUGAAUUAUUCAUGAGCGAAACAACAACAUGGGAUGAAAAUUUAAUCAGGUAUUUGUUCUAUCACCAUGAUGCGGAGGAGAUUCUAAAUGUACGUAUUCAGUCUGGAGGAGAGGGAGAUCAAGUUGCUUGGCAUUAUGAGAAAAAUGGUAUGUUUUCUGUUAAAAGUGCGUAUAGACUGGCCUUAAAUCUUAAGGACAGUAAGGGUGAAACUGGAACGUCCAACACUAAUGUUAAUGAGGAGAGAAGGAUGUGGGACGUUAUUUGGAAGGCCAAAGUCCCACAAAAAAUAAGAAUUUUUGCACGGCGAGCCGCGUCCAAUAGUUUGGCGACCCAAGUAAAUAGAGUUGCUCAUCACCAAACAGUGUCAGAUAUGUGUACUAUUUGUGGUGUGGAGGAAGAAAGUAUCUUUCAUGCCCUGGUGACUUGUCCUGAGGCGUGUGCUUUCCGUUUUGCCAUGAGAGAUGUGUGGAAUAUUCCUGGAGAGGAGUUCUUCAGAUAUACGGGGCCGAACUAGUUUCUUAUUCUGCUUGACCAAUUGAGGUCACCGGUUCGCGAGCAAGUUUUAUUCAUAUUUUGGAGAGCUUGGCACCUGAGGAAUGAUCUGAUCUUUGGAAGGGGGAAAGAGUCUUUAUCUGCUUCUGCUAUAUUUGUGGAAAAUUACUGGAAAUCUUUUACGGCGACAAAUGCGUGUGUGCAAGUUGACAUGAGUAAUAAAGGUAAGGGGUGGUUGACAAGUGGAGGUAUGCUACUCCACCCGCAAUUGGUCACCGAGUUUGGGAGCCCCCGCAUCCUGAGUAUAUUAAGAUUAAUGUUGAUGCAAGUUUUGUGGAGAGCAUGAGAUCUGCUAGUGUUGGAGUUGUUGUCAGGAAUGACCUGGGCGAAGUAUUGAUCUCAACAUGGGAUUUUAUCCGCUCAUGUACUUGUGUGGAUGAAGCGGAACUUCGUGCGGCCCUUGCCGGGUUAUACAUAGGUAUUACACUUCACAAACCAAUUAUCCUGGAAACUGAUUACGCUUUUGUUGUUUCUUGUCUGGCUAGAGAUUCCAUUGACAGGUCUCCGUUGGCGGACCUGAAAAUGGAGGCAUUGAGCGUAUCAAAACUCAUAAAGGAUUUUAAGAUCACGAAGAUUGAUAGGCGGGCAAAUAAGGUGGCGCGCGAGAUUGCAAAAUUUAGUUUUUACAGUAGAUCCGAGGGCCUUUUAUGUAAUAGUGUUCCGCCAUGUGUAACUGCUUUUGUAAUGAACAAUUGUGAGAACCUUAAUUUACCAAAGUAAUAUAUGGAGGUUUUCAAAAAAAAAGGUUAGGCAAGUUCGUCCAAUAUGCAACUUAAUAUAUAUUAUUACAUCUUAUCGUCAAAACUAAUUAUAGAACUGGAUUGUAGUAGUAGUAGUAGUAGUAGUAGUAGUAGUAGUAGUAGUAGUAGUAGUAGUAUAUCUUUACUCCUAAUGGAGCAGUUGGUAGUCUCGCUUCCAGGUUUUUUUUCGUCCCACCACUUUCGUCCGGUUUUUUUCGUAGGUUAACCGUCGUAGAUUUUUUUCGAUGUUGGUUUCUUAUUCACCGGUUUAUAUAUCCCUCAGCUCUUUCCUUGCAAAUCAGCACUUUCCAAACGUGCACGCAAUCACAGAUGUAAAUUUACUAACUUAUCCAAAUCAACUGAUACCUUCCAUUAUUGCAAAUUUCUUUAGGAAACAAAUAAUAGAUUUUAAGGAAACAAAUAAAAGAUUUUAAAGAUGCAUCAUACUUUACUAACAAUCACUAAAAAUCAAAUCUAAAUUAAUUAACCUUACCUUAAAUCACUCAAUCACUUUAAUUAGAAAACAUUUUCUUUCCUAACUGCAGUUGGUAGUUUUGCUUCCAGGUUUUUUUUCGUCCCACCAGUUUCGUCCGAUUUUUUUCGUAGGUUAACCGUCGUAGAUUUUUUUCGAUGUUGGUUUCUUAUUCACCGGUUUAUUUACCCCUCAGCUCUUUCCUUGCAAAUCAGCACUUUCCAAACAUGCACGCAAUCACGGUUCUAAAUUUACUAACUUAUCCAAAUCAACCGAUACCUUCCAUUAUUGCAAAUUUCUUUAGGAAACAAAUAAUAGAUUUUAAGGAAACAAAUAAAAGAUUUUAAAGACGCAUCAUACUUUACUAACAAUCACUAAAAAUCAAAUCUAAAUUAAUUAACCUUACCUUAAAUCACUCAAUCACUUUAAUUAGAAAACAUUUUAUUUCCUAACUGCACUCUGCUUAGUGUGCACAUAACAAUCCGAAGUAAUUAGAGUCACAUGAUUGAAUCCAUUUAUUUAUAGCGACAUGAUUGAAUUCAUUUAUUAACAAUAAUCCUCACCAAAAGUGCGUUUAGCAAUUUUAGAGGGCGGACCAAAACUCUGCCAUCCGCUCGCCCGCGUUUGUUUAGGUACAGGAAAAAAUGGCAUAAUAUAUGGAAACAACACGACCGGGGCGGCGGCGCAAUCUUCGGGGAUAGGGGAUCGGAGGAGAAGGAUUGGCCUGGCAGAAUGAUCGGGGUGCUUCCCCGCGGCCGCGGCCAUCCUCGCGUUGCCACCAACCGAAAUCAACGUUGCUCCCUGCCGUCAGCCGAGGCGACGCCGCCUGCCCUCCUACCCACGGUCCGCUGCCGCGUGCAGCUACGGCGGGAGGAGUAGCGACGGGGCCGAGGUCCUUCAUGCGUUCCGGGAUGGAGGCCAUGAUAUCGUCCAGGUCGUUGCUGCCUCCUACACUCAGCGUGUGUCGCCGAGAUCGAGGCGAGCAUGAGGAGCUGUGGCCACCGCCAUGGUCACCCCAUCGCAGGGGAUGGAGCACGCCGUCGGCCUACAGCUUGUGGAGAUCACUGUUGCUCUUCAGGUCGCGUGGUGAUCGGAUCUUGCCGAUGUGUCCCUCCCCAACGACCUCCUCUUCGCCCGGUUGGCCGACAUGGAUCUCGCCACUGCUGCCCUCAACUUCUCUGCCUCGAGCUCGACGGUCAGCCCCCAUGGAUCCCCCAGCUGGAGGGUCACGUGAACCAGCCGUCCUCCCAUGCUGCAGCGGCGAGAAGGUGACAUGGCUCUCCGUACACGAAGAGUGGAGUUUAGUCAAGUACUUAUAUACUUGGCCUCUACUGCUGAUCCAUGUACAUGGAGAAGAACAGACAACCGCUCAUUCAUGCUUCGUUCCACUCCUUUGUGCUACAUUACUGGAGGUGACAUUUUCCUAUCUCUCUAUAUUGUAACAAGCCUGCUGCCUGCGUAGUUAAUGGAUUUUUUAUUUAAAUUUAUCGCUGCUUAGUGCUUUGUUGCAAUUGUUCACCCAAGAUUCUUAUAUAUAAUCUGAGCGUAUGUAGGCAUACUUAGCUUUGCUAUUCCAUUUUUUCUGGCGCAUAGAAAUAAGAGUAUUGUCCAGGUUAGGUAUUAAAUUGAGUAUGGUAUUUGGAUUGCUAUCAGAAUAUCUUUUCUAUGCAUGUGAUUUCUUACAUCUGGUUAUAAUAUUUGUGAAGACGUGCAUUGCACGUGCACUUGGAAGCGGGCCCGUGGCCCGCGCUGGAUGGCGCCGACGCCUACCCGAGCCACCUCGUCCGCGUAUUCUUGGAGCUGUGGCUGGUCGAUUUACAUGAAAUUAAUUCCCCCAGUUCUGGUGACAAAUAUAAUACACAUAAUCCAUAUUAUUAUGCACUAGCGUGUAUGUGUGAAAUAGAUUGAUUAUGGUCCCGUACCCAAUAAGAUGGAUAUGUGUGUGUGUUAGAGAGAGAGGGAGAGGGGGAUAGAGAGUGAGGAAGAGGGAGGGAGAGUGUGUGUCUGUGUGUGUGAGGAUUUGAUGGUAAAAAAAACCGUCAAUGUCGUAAUAUUGAACUCUUAAAGUUAAUGUGGCCCGUUGCAACGCACGGGCGUUCUUCUAGUGUACCUGAGUUUACCUUCCUUGUUCACUAGUCUUUUACUAUACUACUCCCUUCGUUCCUUUAUCUAAGGUGUAUUUAUUUUUUGAACUCCAUCACAAAAGAGGUAGAAGCCACUUGACGAAUGGAAUUGCACCCUCUGUCAAGUGAACCUGACCCGUGAAGAAGACUUAAUGCAACACAAAGCACGCGAACUACACCGGUUGAACCUUGCGGCAUUGCGGUCCAGGCAGAAAGCCUUUGGAUUUGACUUGCGCAACCAUCUCAAGGGCAGCAGCCACCAGGAAAGCACGCAGGCCCUGCACACAGAAGCCGGGAGCUACCAUCUCAAAGGGAGGAGCCAUCAGGAGAGCGCACAGACCCGGAAGGCAGGAGGCAACGAGGAGGGCAAGCAUUUCGCUGACCGCAGGGGUGCUGAAUAUCCGAGGAAGGAGUUUGUAAGCAAAUUUCCCUUCUGCAAGCUCUGCAAAGUGUAGUACUCCAGCGAGAAGGUGAAGGAGUCGCAUCUUGCCGGGAAGAAACACAGGCAGAACCUUCAGGCAAGCCAUUGAGAGGCAGCAGUUGCAGAGCAGCGGCGGUUUGUUGCGAAGUCGUGUGUUUAUUGUACCAUGGGUUAGUGUCUGAUUAACAUGUCAAUCUGCAAAUGUUAGCACGGUGCAGCUGCAACUUGUCAUGUCGGUGGCUGCACUGGAGUUCAUUUGGUGAAGAAUCUACGUGUUUAUGUCCCUAGGUGUCAACAUGUUCCAUCCAGGUGUACAUAUUAGGUUUUCUAGAUCUUUUAGUUUUAGUUAAACUAGAAAGGAGUGGUUCCCUUUUUCUCCUUUUCGAAAGAGAGCUGAUUUCUCCGAUUUCCAGUGCUGAUCCACUGAGGGUUCUAAGAUAGUUGUUGUAAUCGAAGAAGAGCUACCAUGUGUCGUGCAUUGCUAUGUACCUUGUGUCAUCCAAACAUGAUUUGGUACCUUGUGUCAUCCAAACAUGAUUUGGUAUUGAAAUCUCGGAGGCAUUUCAAGGGCCAAUUCACUGGACAACCAAACAUGUGAAUUUGUAUUCCCAUCAUUUCAGUUUCCUCACUGAUUUGGAAUUCAGACCAAUACAAUACGGAGCUCCCCAAUGGAGACAUCCAAACGAAGCGUUACAAUCUCACCUGCUCCUUGAUUUGAGUGAGCCCUAGCCCCUUGAACAAUCGCCGCACCAUUUGCUUCUUUCUCAGAAGAAUCACCAACUUUUGGUUGUAUUAUCAGAUCACAUCUGUGGCAGGUUUGCUUUGGGAAUUUGAUUUCGAAUUCGUUUGAAAUGUCAGCAGCAAUCAAAGUGUCCGUGAUUUUAUUCGAUAAUUUGGUCUGUACGGGUAAUGAUGCCGUAUGAGCAAGAUCUCAUUUAUUCCAAGUUUGUUUCCGACGCAUGCAUCCACACCGUUCAAACUCACUUCGGCAUCUCGGCUCUGGUUUCCUUUGUGACUAAGCAAAACAUCUUAAGCCGCCGCGAUCGAUCAAUCAUUGCUUGUGUGAUCGGGCCUAAUUUGCUUUUUCACGCUGCUUUUCCUCGCGCGCCCGGCCCCUGCUCUUCUCGUCCCCCACCAACUCCGGCGGCCCGGCCUCAGGUUCUUCUCCCUCUCGCCGUCGCUGCUCUGCUACCACCGGAACCCGAGGACCCGACCGAUGGAGUUCUCCCGCCGUGGCCGAGCCACCGACGACGCCGGCGACGGCCAACGCUUCCCUGACCCUCCGCCGCACGGUAACCGUCGAGUCACUGUCACUCUUACCUUCUCCUCGCUGUCUGCCGAUCGUUUAUCACCUUUUGGUUGUUUCAGUUUUCCUGGGUUCAGAUGCAGGCGCUGGUUCGAUUCCAAGCCAAGAACUCGGGAACCUCGACCGCUGGGAGUGGGAUACCUUACAAUUUAUACUAGAGAACUAUAUUUCGGAUCUGUUUGUGAGGCACAAGAUAAAAGAAUCGGACAUAGUUUGUGCAAUCUUACCGCCAAAAGAAUAAAAAACACUUGCAAAUGUAGUAGUACAACUCUUCCACCGACAGAUCAUAUGUUGUAGAGCGGUUGUGCAAAGGGACGCGCUGGUGUAGAAUUCUUGUCACGCUGACACAUCUAAUGGCCGCACAAUGCUGCUGAUGCACGCAGGAGACCCGAUGCUGGUGAUGAGGGACGCGCUGCUGUGGCAGCUCCAGAAGGACCGCCUUCGCCAGGAGAUCAUCGUGGCCGAGCUGGCCAAGAUAGAGCGUGCCAUGGCCCUGCAUACCACUGGAGUUUCUGUUUAUACUUUAGAGGCUUCCCUUACAAUUUUCAUUAAAAAAAUGACACCAUGAUACGAAUCUGAAAAGACAGUGUAAAUAAUCAUAAUUUUCUGUGGUGAUAGAAUAUAUUAUGAUGAGCUACUUUGCAAAAACAAUAGUAUUUGGGGGUGUAAAUUGCUAAAACAAAUCUCAUCUAAGCCCUUCCUCAAAAAUUUCCUUCAUAGUUCGGUCCGAGGCUGGGCCCCCUCGGUCUCAACAUAGCUCCGCCAGUGGUGUCCACCCAAACAUAAUACAACCAGUGUCACAACUGCAUGAUUGACACAUUGAAAUUCGAAGUGCGGUCCGAGGCUGGGCUCCCUUCAUUCCUUUAUAUAAGGUGUAUUUGUUUUUCCUAAACUAGAUCAUGAUAGGCGCGCGUUGCCGCGCCCGUUCAUUUUUUCGAUAGAAUAAUAGGAAAUCCAUAAAAAUGUAUGAUGGCAUAAAACACACACAACCAAUUCCCAAAAAAUGGAAGGACACACUCUGAACUACAAAUAAUCAAAUAACACAAUGACAUAUUUUCUAAGUCAUUCAGCAGCCAGGUUGAGCUACCGGCUAUUUUUUUGCACUAAAAUGAAACAAAUUUAAUUCUAACAAACGGAUGUGAAACCUCUUUUACCGGGAAGGAUUGCCAUAGUCCGGAGAUGGAGACAAACAAAGAUGGUUUUCCCGUCUCAUCAACAUUUUUUUUAGAACGAAGGCUCGCGAUGAGCCCGGCUUUGAAUUAACGAAGCCAUCAACCGGCCAGGAAUUACAACACCACAUCAAGCACAUCGGCCGAAUGAUACAAGGGAGCACCCUAGGAAACUUACAACUCAACGCAGUAUACAAGCUCACAACAUAAAGAAGAGAAAGCCCAAGCUAGUACACGCCGCAGACCGCAGCAACCAAGAACCAAGGAUUGCGACCAACAUGAACACGACGAGGACCUGCCAAAACAGAGUGGAGUUGUGGACAUGACUGAGUCCAAGGUUGGAGGAAACAAAUCAUCUUCCUUUGCUCUCGCCGUAGAGGGACCCUACCCUCUCGCCUUGGAUCGAAAGGCGCCGCCGACGGACAUGAGAGACACUCUCCCUAGAGCAGGAGAGAUGUCGACCUCGAGUCCUGGAACAGGCACAGAGCACACCUCCUAGGACAUAAGCACACCUCGUAUGACACACCGGCGCAACCAAGGACCCCUGAAAGACAGCGGGAAAGCCACCGGGAGCAGCCACUGAAGAACGAGCAGCAAGGACAUCAGGAGAGGUCGCAGAGCGACGAGGGCGAGCCGGACCUCCCCAUAGCCACCUGAGAACCAUAGCCGCCCAAAACUCCACCUUUGUCGCCCCUCACCCGAACGCACGCUCCCCAGGCGGCACCUCCAAGGAGGACACGACGCGCAGCACGCUGUCACCGCCCAAUCCAAGAAGGAUUUUGGGCUUUCACCGGGAGGGGAACGGGGGUGGAUUGGGUGGGACCUCGGCUGCACCUUCAAUGAGGAAGGGCGGCGCCCAAGGGCGUCGCUGCCGCCGGACCGGAACAGCCGACCGAUGGUUUCCCACGGUCCCAAAACCACACCACCAGGCACCCAUCCACGCCUAUCCGGCGACCGAAGCUGCUGAAACCGGCGAGGGUGAGGAGCCAAAGGGAAGGGGAGCCGAACCUCAGAUCUGGCGGGGGGUCUCCACGCCACAGCCACCACCCGCCGCCGUCCCACCACCUGCCUGGUCGGGAACACCGGCCGAGAUCCCCCGCGGAUGCCGCCAGCCGGGGGGACGCCGCCGCCGCGCCAUGAAGGGCCGCCGCCCCAGAUCCGCCGUCCUCCUCCAGGAACGGAGCGAGCAGGGCCUCGCCGCCACCUUCACCGGCGACCGCGCAGNNNNNNNNNNUUUAUCACCUUUUGGUUGUUUCAGUUUUCCUGGGUUCAGAUGCAGGCGCUGGUUCGAUUCCAAGCCAAGAACUCGGGAACCUCGACCGCUGGGAGUGGGAUACCUUACAAUUUAUACUAGAGAACUAUAUUUCGGAUCUGUUUGUGAGGCACAAGAUAAAAGAAUCGGACAUAGUUUGUGCAAUCUUACCGCCAAAAGAAUAAAAAACACUUGCAAAUGUAGUAGUACAACUCUUCCACCGACAGAUCAUAUGUUGUAGAGCGGUUGUGCAAAGGGACGCGCUGGUGUAGAAUUCUUGUCACGCUGACACAUCUAAUGGCCGCACAAUGCUGCUGAUGCACGCAGGAGACCCGAUGCUGGUGAUGAGGGACGCGCUGCUGUGGCAGCUCCAGAAGGACCGCCUUCGCCAGGAGAUCAUCGUGGCCGAGCUGGCCAAGAUAGAGCGUGCCAUGGCCCUGCAUACCACUGGAGUUUCUGUUUAUACUUUAGAGGCUUCCCUUACAAUUUUCAUUAAAAAAAUGACACCAUGAUACGAAUCUGAAAAGACAGUGUAAAUAAUCAUAAUUUUCUGUGGUGAUAGAAUAUAUUAUGAUGAGCUACUUUGCAAAAACAAUAGUAUUUGGGGGUGUAAAUUGCUAAAACAAAUCUCAUNNNNNNNNNNGCCACAGCCACCACCCGCCGCCGUCCCACCACCUGCCUGGUCGGGAACACCGGCCGAGAUCCCCCGCGGAUGCCGCCAGCCGGGGGGACGCCGCCGCCGCGCCAUGAAGGGCCGCCGCCCCAGAUCCGCCGUCCUCCUCCAGGAACGGAGCGAGCAGGGCCUCGCCGCCACCUUCACCGGCGACCGCGCAGGCUUGCUGGCGGCCUCCUCGGGUGGCGACGAGGGGGGGAGGAGGCAGGGGGGGCGGCGCUAGGUGGGAACCCUAGUCGCCUCCCGAGUCGCCCGAACGGACGACGCGGGGGCGGGGGGGGGGGCGUUGAUCGGCUCUUGAAUUUGUCUCAUCAACAUCAUCAGCACAUAUUGAAAAGUACACCUAUAAACUUGUCAUUUUUUUGAGAGAAUACAUGUAAUCCCCUUUGUCAAAUAUGAGGCAUUGAAAAAAUACCCAAUAAUAGUGUGACAAUACUGUAACUAAUCGCCCAACCAGCUCCAGCCGGUCAUGACGCAUGCAUGUCUUUGUCGCUGUGAUGUAAAGCUUGACAAGAAUAAAGAAAACUGAGAAUAUCAUGGUGCCUGCUAUUCCUAGCAGCAAGAGUAUAUAUAUACUUCCCAAACCAAAUAGUUGAAGUUGGAACUGUUUCACCUAAAUUAAAUAACCUCCAACCACCUCGAGCCGGUCAUGAUGCAUGCAUGUUUUUUUCGUUUGAAUAGCCUGCAAGGUAUCAUCAGUUAUUUGUGAAUAUGUCAAAAGCUAAUAACUGACCUAUUUGUGAAGAUGUAAAAAGCUAACAACUGACCUAACAUAACUAUUGUAUUCCGAAGCUUGUUAAAAUCAACAAACUGAAAGCAAACCAAAUACAUUUAUUAUGAAUGGAAUAUUUUGCCUGAUCCAUGAACAGGUUGAAUAAUUUGUCAAUUAGGCUCGGGUGACCAGCCAAUAUGCUUGAGGAAUUACACCUGCAUUAGUCAAACAAACACACAGAUUUAGAUUCACAAGACCAAUUUACUCAAUGAAACAAAACAAUGUCUAAAUACUCUUAACUUGGUAGUCCUGGAUAAAAAUAAUGAUCUUGUUCUUAGUCGAUGUACUACAACACAUGAAAAUAGGCCAAACCAAUGAAUGGAUGCCCACAGAAAGAACGCAGAAAUCUCCAAAUUUCUGCCCACUCAAUUUAUAAAAUAACUAAUGCAGCUAGCAGACAUACCUCUCAACAUUCCUACCAUAGCCUCUAUAAGCUGGAAUUCUAGGAGUAUUGGUUAUUUUCAUAUGUUACAACCUGUUAUUUUUCCUCAACGCUGCAACAACACCACACCAUGCAAAUAUAAUUUAACAUAUGUAAAGUGAAAAAAACUGCAUGUGUCCUGUAAACGUGCCGCUUCAAAUGUACCGAAUCAAGCAUCGCUUCAGGUCAUCCAGCUCAGAGAAAAGCUGUUGUACCAUUACACAGAAGUAACUCACAAAAUGUCUGGCUUAAUCAGAAUAAGGAUGGCCUAAAUAGCUCACAAAAUAAAUGAUAGAGCUUGACAGAAAAUAUAUUUAAUUUAAUUUGAAGAGAGGUCAAAAAUCUGGAAUCAGCUUCCGUCAUGGAAAGGGGAUUUCAGUUAUGAACACAAUGUACAUACAUGAGAAAAAAACAUAGAACCAGUGAUAACUUAGUGAGGAGCCAAUCAUGAAACCAGUGAAUUAGUAUGAAGAUAUUGAAUUUGCAACAAAUUAGAAAUAGAUACAGCAGCCAAGGAAAAACAUCCUAGAAGCGAAAGUUGGCCUUACAUUAGAAAAUAGACACAUUUUGCACAGCAAAGAAAAUUAGAUCUACUGAUCUCCACUGCCAUAUUCUUUUUUUUCUUAAACAUGUCCACUGUCACAUGUUUCUUAUAAUGCAUGAAAGAAGUAGAAAGAGAUAUAGCAUAUAUCGAAGAUCAAAAAUGCUGGGGAGAGGGAAAGAAAAAAAGUACUUCAAUACAUCCCCAAUAUACUUUCAAUCAAAACACCNNNNNNNNNNUUUAUCACCUUUUGGUUGUUUCAGUUUUCCUGGGUUCAGAUGCAGGCGCUGGUUCGAUUCCAAGCCAAGAACUCGGGAACCUCGACCGCUGGGAGUGGGAUACCUUACAAUUUAUACUAGAGAACUAUAUUUCGGAUCUGUUUGUGAGGCACAAGAUAAAAGAAUCGGACAUAGUUUGUGCAAUCUUACCGCCAAAAGAAUAAAAAACACUUGCAAAUGUAGUAGUACAACUCUUCCACCGACAGAUCAUAUGUUGUAGAGCGGUUGUGCAAAGGGACGCGCUGGUGUAGAAUUCUUGUCACGCUGACACAUCUAAUGGCCGCACAAUGCUGCUGAUGCACGCAGGAGACCCGAUGCUGGUGAUGAGGGACGCGCUGCUGUGGCAGCUCCAGAAGGACCGCCUUCGCCAGGAGAUCAUCGUGGCCGAGCUGGCCAAGAUAGAGCGUGCCAUGGCCCUGCAUACCACUGGAGUUUCUGUUUAUACUUUAGAGGCUUCCCUUACAAUUUUCAUUAAAAAAAUGACACCAUGAUACGAAUCUGAAAAGACAGUGUAAAUAAUCAUAAUUUUCUGUGGUGAUAGAAUAUAUUAUGAUGAGCUACUUUGCAAAAACAAUAGUAUUUGGGGGUGUAAAUUGCUAAAACAAAUCUCAUNNNNNNNNNNAUUUUUUCGAUAGAAUAAUAGGAAAUCCAUAAAAAUGUAUGAUGGCAUAAAACACACACAACCAAUUCCCAAAAAAUGGAAGGACACACUCUGAACUACAAAUAAUCAAAUAACACAAUGACAUAUUUUCUAAGUCAUUCAGCAGCCAGGUUGAGCUACCGGCUAUUUUUUUGCACUAAAAUGAAACAAAUUUAAUUCUAACAAACGGAUGUGAAACCUCUUUUACCGGGAAGGAUUGCCAUAGUCCGGAGAUGGAGACAAACAAAGAUGGUUUUCCCGUCUCAUCAACAUUUUUUUUAGAACGAAGGCUCGCGAUGAGCCCGGCUUUGAAUUAACGAAGCCAUCAACCGGCCAGGAAUUACAACACCACAUCAAGCACAUCGGCCGAAUGAUACAAGGGAGCACCCUAGGAAACUUACAACUCAACGCAGUAUACAAGCUCACAACAUAAAGAAGAGAAAGCCCAAGCUAGUACACGCCGCAGACCGCAGCAACCAAGAACCAAGGAUUGCGACCAACAUGAACACGACGAGGACCUGCCAAAACAGAGUGGAGUUGUGGACAUGACUGAGUCCAAGGUUGGAGGAAACAAAUCAUCUUCCUUUGCUCUCGCCGUAGAGGGACCCUACCCUCUCGCCUUGGAUCGAAAGGCGCCGCCGACGGACAUGAGAGACACUCUCCCUAGAGCAGGAGAGAUGUCGACCUCGAGUCCUGGAACAGGCACAGAGCACACCUCCUAGGACAUAAGCACACCUCGUAUGACACACCGGCGCAACCAAGGACCCCUGAAAGACAGCGGGAAAGCCACCGGGAGCAGCCACUGAAGAACGAGCAGCAAGGACAUCAGGAGAGGUCGCAGAGCGACGAGGGCGAGCCGGACCUCCCCAUAGCCACCUGAGAACCAUAGCCNNNNNNNNNNAAAUAUAUUUAAUUUAAUUUGAAGAGAGGUCAAAAAUCUGGAAUCAGCUUCCGUCAUGGAAAGGGGAUUUCAGUUAUGAACACAAUGUACAUACAUGAGAAAAAAACAUAGAACCAGUGAUAACUUAGUGAGGAGCCAAUCAUGAAACCAGUGAAUUAGUAUGAAGAUAUUGAAUUUGCAACAAAUUAGAAAUAGAUACAGCAGCCAAGGAAAAACAUCCUAGAAGCGAAAGUUGGCCUUACAUUAGAAAAUAGACACAUUUUGCACAGCAAAGAAAAUUAGAUCUACUGAUCUCCACUGCCAUAUUCUUUUUUUUCUUAAACAUGUCCACUGUCACAUGUUUCUUAUAAUGCAUGAAAGAAGUAGAAAGAGAUAUAGCAUAUAUCGAAGAUCAAAAAUGCUGGGGAGAGGGAAAGAAAAAAAGUACUUCAAUACAUCCCCAAUAUACUUUCAAUCAAAACACCCAGCUCUAACAUGAAAAAAGAUGUUAUUGACCAAUCUGCAGCUGUAUAGUGAGUUGGUAAUCAAUUAUUUGGAGAACAGAGACAUUAGACUUUUUUGCUACAGAAUACAGGUAUCGGAAAUAUAUGUCCUCACAAACGUCCUGAUAUCUGAUUGACAUCGACCAAAUCCAAAAGAUACAUCAGAAAGCUAUGUCUAGUCGUGAGCAGUGAGGAUUACAGGGUUAGAAUAUCUGAAUAUUUAGGAGGAUAAAUACCCGAAGAUAUCAUAUUUUUCACAUCAUAUCUGGUGAACACUGACAUCAUAUCGGCAAUUCAUCAAACAGUUCAAGUGCAAAGGCUAAAGCGCCAUCUCAACAGAAAGAAAUUGGAAAUAUGGUAGUUGUAGAGNNNNNNNNNNAUUUUUUCGAUAGAAUAAUAGGAAAUCCAUAAAAAUGUAUGAUGGCAUAAAACACACACAACCAAUUCCCAAAAAAUGGAAGGACACACUCUGAACUACAAAUAAUCAAAUAACACAAUGACAUAUUUUCUAAGUCAUUCAGCAGCCAGGUUGAGCUACCGGCUAUUUUUUUGCACUAAAAUGAAACAAAUUUAAUUCUAACAAACGGAUGUGAAACCUCUUUUACCGGGAAGGAUUGCCAUAGUCCGGAGAUGGAGACAAACAAAGAUGGUUUUCCCGUCUCAUCAACAUUUUUUUUAGAACGAAGGCUCGCGAUGAGCCCGGCUUUGAAUUAACGAAGCCAUCAACCGGCCAGGAAUUACAACACCACAUCAAGCACAUCGGCCGAAUGAUACAAGGGAGCACCCUAGGAAACUUACAACUCAACGCAGUAUACAAGCUCACAACAUAAAGAAGAGAAAGCCCAAGCUAGUACACGCCGCAGACCGCAGCAACCAAGAACCAAGGAUUGCGACCAACAUGAACACGACGAGGACCUGCCAAAACAGAGUGGAGUUGUGGACAUGACUGAGUCCAAGGUUGGAGGAAACAAAUCAUCUUCCUUUGCUCUCGCCGUAGAGGGACCCUACCCUCUCGCCUUGGAUCGAAAGGCGCCGCCGACGGACAUGAGAGACACUCUCCCUAGAGCAGGAGAGAUGUCGACCUCGAGUCCUGGAACAGGCACAGAGCACACCUCCUAGGACAUAAGCACACCUCGUAUGACACACCGGCGCAACCAAGGACCCCUGAAAGACAGCGGGAAAGCCACCGGGAGCAGCCACUGAAGAACGAGCAGCAAGGACAUCAGGAGAGGUCGCAGAGCGACGAGGGCGAGCCGGACCUCCCCAUAGCCACCUGAGAACCAUAGCCGCCCAAAACUCCACCUUUGUCGCCCCUCACCCGAACGCACGCUCCCCAGGCGGCACCUCCAAGGAGGACACGACGCGCAGCACGCUGUCACCGCCCAAUCCAAGAAGGAUUUUGGGCUUUCACCGGGAGGGGAACGGGGGUGGAUUGGGUGGGACCUCGGCUGCACCUUCAAUGAGGAAGGGCGGCGCCCAAGGGCGUCGCUGCCGCCGGACCGGAACAGCCGACCGAUGGUUUCCCACGGUCCCAAAACCACACCACCAGGCACCCAUCCACGCCUAUCCGGCGACCGAAGCUGCUGAAACCGGCGAGGGUGAGGAGCCAAAGGGAAGGGGAGCCGAACCUCAGAUCUGGCGGGGGGUCUCCACGCCACAGCCACCACCCGCCGCCGUCCCACCACCUGCCUGGUCGGGAACACCGGCCGAGAUCCCCCGCGGAUGCCGCCAGCCGGGGGGACGCCGCCGCCGCGCCAUGAAGGGCCGCCGCCCCAGAUCCGCCGUCCUCCUCCAGGAACGGAGCGAGCAGGGCCUCGCCGCCACCUUCACCGGCGACCGCGCAGNNNNNNNNNNACAUGAAAAAAGAUGUUAUUGACCAAUCUGCAGCUGUAUAGUGAGUUGGUAAUCAAUUAUUUGGAGAACAGAGACAUUAGACUUUUUUGCUACAGAAUACAGGUAUCGGAAAUAUAUGUCCUCACAAACGUCCUGAUAUCUGAUUGACAUCGACCAAAUCCAAAAGAUACAUCAGAAAGCUAUGUCUAGUCGUGAGCAGUGAGGAUUACAGGGUUAGAAUAUCUGAAUAUUUAGGAGGAUAAAUACCCGAAGAUAUCAUAUUUUUCACAUCAUAUCUGGUGAACACUGACAUCAUAUCGGCAAUUCAUCAAACAGUUCAAGUGCAAAGGCUAAAGCGCCAUCUCAACAGAAAGAAAUUGGAAAUAUGGUAGUUGUAGAGAGUGCCACGGCAGGUUAGCAUGGUCCAUACCUUUAGAUCGCUGCAGAGGUGCACGUAUAGGAGGGGUCGGGGCAUACACAUCCACAUGCUGCCAUUGUAGACACCGUAACCGGCCGUGCCUCCAUCAGCAAGUGACCGAUGCUAUUUCGAUCGCGCCAAAAGAUCAUAUGACGUAUGAUCGUACCUUGCUUGCCGGGGGCUCGACCGAGGUAGGAUCCAGCAACGGGGCAACCGAGAAGUUCAAACCCGGCGUAGAAAGAAGCUGGACCAGGCCUGCGGCGGCAACUCGCCCACCAUCUCCUUCUUGUGCUUGCGGUCUUUCGGAUCCUCGUGCGUGUCCGACGUGUACCCGCCGUCGGGGGUGCCUUUGUCGCUCGGUCGAGAGAGGGAUGUCGUGGCUCGAGGUUGGCGUCGACAGUGGCAGCGGCGGCGGUGACGCACAACGAUACGGUCGGAGGCGAGGUCAAGGGGGUGCCUUCGUCGCUCGGGUGAGAGAGGAACGCCGUGGCUGGAGGUUGGCGUCGACAGUGGCAGUGGCGGCGGCGGCGAGGGGAGGUCGGGGAAAGAGAUAGACGAAGGAGAGGGACGUGUUUGCGGGCUUCGUGGGGUUGAAUGAGCUCCGAGUGUAAACAGGCCCGAUUAACCAGAGGCCACCGUUUUUUCUCUCGGAGUAGGAGCCGCUUAGACAGCGGCCCAGUUAGCGCGAAACUGAGCAUCGGACGGCCAAGAUGACCCAGAUUCUUAAUCUGACGGCCAAAAUCUUCAAAUGCGUGAGAGGGCUGGAAUAGUGCGCGGUUGUAAUGUAUUUAAAUAUUCCACAAUGUAAGGUGUAUUUCGCUUUUCCUCUCAUAUUUUCAUGUGUGCCCUCUCAUAUUUAUCACCUUUUGGUUGUUUCAGUUUUCCUGGGUUCAGAUGCAGGCGCUGGUUCGAUUCCAAGCCAAGAACUCGGGAACCUCGACCGCUGGGAGUGGGAUACCUUACAAUUUAUACUAGAGAACUAUAUUUCGGAUCUGUUUGUGAGGCACAAGAUAAAAGAAUCGGACAUAGUUUGUGCAAUCUUACCGCCAAAAGAAUAAAAAACACUUGCAAAUGUAGUAGUACAACUCUUCCACCGACAGAUCAUAUGUUGUAGAGCGGUUGUGCAAAGGGACGCGCUGGUGUAGAAUUCUUGUCACGCUGACACAUCUAAUGGCCGCACAAUGCUGCUGAUGCACGCAGGAGACCCGAUGCUGGUGAUGAGGGACGCGCUGCUGUGGCAGCUCCAGAAGGACCGCCUUCGCCAGGAGAUCAUCGUGGCCGAGCUGGCCAAGAUAGAGCGUGCCAUGGCCCUGCAUACCACUGGAGUUUCUGUUUAUACUUUAGAGGCUUCCCUUACAAUUUUCAUUAAAAAAAUGACACCAUGAUACGAAUCUGAAAAGACAGUGUAAAUAAUCAUAAUUUUCUGUGGUGAUAGAAUAUAUUAUGAUGAGCUACUUUGCAAAAACAAUAGUAUUUGGGGGUGUAAAUUGCUAAAACAAAUCUCAUGUAAGCCCUUCCUCAAAAAUUUCCUUCAUAGUUCGGUCCGAGGCUGGGCCCCCUCGGUCUCAACAUAGCUCCGCCAGUGGUGUCCACCCAAACAUAAUACAACCAGUGUCACAACUGCAUGAUUGACACAUUGAAAUUCGAAGUGCGGUCCGAGGCUGGGCUCCCUUCAUUCCUUUAUAUAAGGUGUAUUUGUUUUUCCUAAACUAGAUCAUGAUAGGCGCGCGUUGCCGCGCCCGUUUAUUUUUUCGAUAGAAUAAUAGGAAAUCCAUAAAAAUGUAUGAUGGCAUAAAACACACACAACCAAUUCCCAAAAAAUGGAAGGACACACUCUGAACUACAAAUAAUCAAAUAACACAAUGACAUAUUUUCUAAGUCAUUCAGCAGCCAGGUUGAGCUACCGGCUAUUUUUUUGCACUAAAAUGAAACAAAUUUAAUUCUAACAAACGGAUGUGAAACCUCUUUUACCGGGAAGGAUUGCCAUAGUCCGGAGAUGGAGACAAACAAAGAUGGUUUUCCCGUCUCAUCAACAUUUUUUUUAGAACGAAGGCUCGCGAUGAGCCCGGCUUUGAAUUAACGAAGCCAUCAACCGGCCAGGAAUUACAACACCACAUCAAGCACAUCGGCCGAAUGAUACAAGGGAGCACCCUAGGAAACUUACAACUCAACGCAGUAUACAAGCUCACAACAUAAAGAAGAGAAAGCCCAAGCUAGUACACGCCGCAGACCGCAGCAACCAAGAACCAAGGAUUGCGACCAACAUGAACACGACGAGGACCUGCCAAAACAGAGUGGAGUUGUGGACAUGACUGAGUCCAAGGUUGGAGGAAACAAAUCAUCUUCCUUUGCUCUCGCCGUAGAGGGACCCUACCCUCUCGCCUUGGAUCGAAAGGCGCCGCCGACGGACAUGAGAGACACUCUCCCUAGAGCAGGAGAGAUGUCGACCUCGAGUCCUGGAACAGGCACAGAGCACACCUCCUAGGACAUAAGCACACCUCGUAUGACACACCGGCGCAACCAAGGACCCCUGAAAGACAGCGGGAAAGCCACCGGGAGCAGCCACUGAAGAACGAGCAGCAAGGACAUCAGGAGAGGUCGCAGAGCGACGAGGGCGAGCCGGACCUCCCCAUAGCCACCUGAGAACCAUAGCCACCCAAAACUCCACCUUUGUCGCCCCUCACCCGAACGCACGCUCCCCAGGCGGCACCUCCAAGGAGGACACGACGCGCAGCGCGCUGUCACCGCCCAAUCCAAGAAGGAUUUUGGGCUUUCACCGGGAGGGGAACGGGGGUGGAUUGGGUGGGACCUCGGCUGCACCUCCAACGAGGAAGGGCGGCGCCCAAGGGCGUCGCUGCCGCCGGACCGGAACAGCCGACCGAUGGUUUCCCACGGUCCCAAAACCACACCACCAGGCACCCAUCCAUGCCUAUCCGGCGACCGAAGCUGCUGAAACCGGCGAGGGUGAGGAGCCAAAGGGAAGGGGAGCCGAACCUCAGAUCUGGCGGGGGGUCUCCAUGCCACAGCCACCACCCGCCGCCGUCCCACCACCUGCCUGGUCGGGAACACCGGCCGAGAUCCCCCGCGGAUGCCGCCAGCCGGGGGGACGCCGCCGCCGCGCCAUGAAGGGCCGCCGCCCCAGAUCCGCCGUCCUCCUCCAGGAACGGAGCGAGCAGGGCCUCGCCGCCACCUUCACCGGCGACCGCGCAGNNNNNNNNNNNNNNNNNNNNNNNNNNNNNNNNNNNNNNNNNNNNNNNNNNNNNNNNNNNNNNNNNNNNNNNNNNNNNNNNNNNNNNNNNNNNNNNNNNNNNNNNNNNNNNNNNNNNNNNNNNNNNNNNNNNNNNNNNNNNNNNNNNNNNNNNNNNNNNNNNNNNNNNNNNNNNNNNNNNNNNNNNNNNNNNNNNNNNNNNNNNNNNNNNNNNNNNNNNNNNNNNNNNNNNNNNNNNNNNNNNNNNNNNNNNNNNNNNNNNNNNNNNNNNNNNNNNNNNNNNNNNNNNNNNNNNNNNNNNNNNNNNNNNNNNNNNNNNNNNNNNNNNNNNNNNNNNNNNNNNNNNNNNNNNNNNNNNNNNNNNNNNNNNNNNNNNNNNNNNNNNNNNNNNNNNNNNNNNNNNNNNNNNNNNNNNNNNNNNNNNNNNNNNNNNNNNNNNNNNNNNNNNNNNNNNNNNNNNNNNNNNNNNNNNNNNNNNNNNNNNNNNNNNNNNNNNNNNNNNNNNNNNNNNNNNNNNNNNNNNNNNNNNNNNNNNNNNNNNNNNNNNNNNNNNNNNNNNNNNNNNNGGGGGGGGGCGUUGAUCGGCUCUUGAAUUUGUCUCAUCAACAUCAUCAGCACAUAUUGAAAAGUACACCUAUAAACUUGUCAUUUUUUUGAGAGAAUACAUGUAAUCCCCUUUGUCAAAUAUGAGGCAUUGAAAAAAUACCCAAUAAUAAUGUGACAAUACUGUAACUAAUCGCCCAACCAGCUCCAGCCGGUCAUGACGCAUGCAUGUCUUUGUCGCUGUGAUGUAAAGCUUGACAAGAAUAAAGAAAACUGAGAAUAUCAUGGUGCCUGCUAUUCCUAGCAGCAAGAGUAUAUAUAUACUUCCCAAACCAAAUAGUUGAAGUUGAAACUGUUUCACCUAAAUUAAAUAACCUCCAACCACCUUGAGCCGGUCAUGAUGCAUGCAUGUUUUUUUCGUUUGAAUAGCCUGCAAGGUAUCAUCAGUUAUUUGUGAAUAUGUCAAAAGCUAAUAACUGACCUAUUUGUGAAGAUGAAAAAGCUAACAACUGACCUAACAUAACUAUUGUAUUCCGAAGCUUGUUAAAAUCAACAAACCGAAAGCAAACCAAAUACAUUUAUUAUGAAUGGAAUAUUUUGCCUGAUCCAUGAACAGGUUGAAUAAUUUGUCAAUUAGGCUCGGGUGACCAGCCAAUAUGUUUGAGGAAUUACACCUGCAUUAGUCAAACAAACACACAGAUUUAGAUUCACAAGACCAAUUUACUCAAUGAAACAAAACAAUGUCUAAAUACUCUUAACUUGGUAGUCCUGGAUAAAAAUAAUGAUCUUGUUCUUAGUCGAUGUACUACAACACAUGAAAAUAGGCCAGACCAAUGAAUGGAUGCCCACAGAAAGAACGCAGAAAUCUCCAAAUUUCUGCCCACUCAAUUUAUAAAAUAACUAAUGCAGCUAGCAGACAUACCUCUCAACAUUCCUACCAUAGCCUCUAUAAGCUGGAAUUCUAGGAGUAUUGGUUAUUUUCAUAUGUUACAACUUGUUAUUUUUCCUCAACGCUGCAACAACACCACACCAUGCAAAUAUAUUUAACAUAUGUAAAGUGAAAAAAACUGCAUGUGUCCUGUAAACGUGCCGCUUCAAAUGUAUCGAAUCAAGCAUCGCUUCAGGUCAUCCAGCUCAGAGAAAAGCUGUUGUACCAUUACACAGAAGUAACUCACAAAAUGUCUGGCUUAAUCAGAAUAAGGAUGGCCUAAAUAGCUCACAAAAUAAAUGAUAGAGCUUGACAGCAAAUAUAUUUAAUUUAAUUUGAAGAGAGGUCAAAAAUCUGGAAUCAGCUUCCGUCAUGGAAAGGGGAUUUCAGUUAUGAACACAAUGUACAUACAUGAGAAAAAAACAUAGAACCAGUGAUAACUUAGUGAGGAGCCAAUCAUGAAACCAGUGAAUUAGUAUGAAGAUAUUGAAUUUGCAACAAAUUAGAAAUAGAUACAGCAGCCAAGGAAAAACAUCCUAGAAGCGAAAGUUGGCCUUACAUUAGAAAAUAGACACAUUUUGCACAGCAAAGAAAAUUAGAUCUACUGAUCUCCACUGCCAUAUUCUUUUUUUUCUUAAACAUGUCCACUGUCACAUGUUUCUUAUAAUGCAUGAAAGAAGUAGAAAGAGAUAUAGCAUAUAUCGAAGAUCAAAAAUGCUGGGGAGAGGGAAAGAAAAAAAGUACUUCAAUACAUCCCCAAUAUACUUUCAAUCAAAACACCUAGCUCUUACAUGAAAAAAGAUGUUAUUGACCAAUCUGCAGCUGUAUAGUGAGUUGGUAAUCAAUUAUUUGGAGAACAGAGACAUUAGACUUUUUUGCUACAGAAUACAGGUAUCGGAAAUAUAUGUCCUCACAAACGUCCUGAUAUCUGAUUGACAUCGACCAAAUCCAAAAGAUACAUCAGAAAGCUAUGUCUAGUCGUGAGCAGUGAGGAUUACAGGGUUAGAAUAUCUGAAUAUUUAGGAGGAUAAAUACCCGAAGAUAUCAUAUUUUUCACAUCAUAUCUGGUGAACACUGACAUCAUAUCGGCAAUUCAUCAAACAGUUCAAGUGCAAAGGCUAAAGCGCCAUCUCAACAGAAAGAAAUUGGAAAUAUGGUAGUUGUAGAGUGCCACGGCAGGUUAGCAUGGUCCAUACCUUUAGAUCGCUGCAGAGGUGCACGUAUAGGAGGGGUCGGGGCAUACACAUCCACAUGCUGCCAUUGUAGACACCGUGACCGGCCGUGCCUCCAUCAGCAAGUGACCGAUGCUAUUUCGAUCGCGCCAAAAGAUCAUAUGACGUAUGAUCGUACCUUGCUUGCCGGGGGCUCGACCGAGGUAGGAUCCAGCAACGGGGCAACCGAGAAGUUCAAACCUGGCGUAGAAAGAAGCUGGACCAGGCCUGCGGCGGCAACUCGCCCACCAUCUCCUUCUUGUGCUUGCGGUCUUUCGGAUCCUCGUGCGUGUCCGACGUGUACCCGCCGUCGGGGGUGCCUUUGUCGCUCGGUCGAGAGAGGGAUGUCGUGGCUCGAGGUUGGCGUCGACAGUGGCAGCGGCGGCGGUGACGCACAACGAUACGGUCGGAGGCGAGGUCAAGGGGGUGCCUUCGUCGCUCGGGUGAGAGAGGAACGCCGUGGCUGGAGGUUGGUGUCGACAGUGGCAGUGGCGGCGGCGGCGAGGGGAGGUCGGGGAAAGAGAUAGACGAAGGAGAGGGACGUGUUUGCGGGCUUCGUGGGGUUGAAUGAGCUCCGAGUGUAAACAUGCCCGAUUAACCAGAGGCCACCGUUUUUUCUAUCGGAGUAGGAGCCGCUUAGACAGCGGCCCAGUUAGCGCGAAACUGAGCAUCGGACGGCCAAGAUGACCCAGAUUCUUAAUCUGACGGCCAAAAUCUUCAAAGGCGUGAGAGGGCUGGAAUAGUGCGCGGUUGUAAUGUAUUUAAAUAUUCCACAAUGUAAGGUGUAUUUCGCUUUUCCUCUCAUAUUUUCAUGUGUGCCCUUUCACCAUCCAGUACAUGCCUUCUAUGAAAAGUAGUAGAUACUCCUCAAUAGGAAGGUAGUAAAAAAAUCUCUCUCCCUGAUUGCAUGCGUUCACAUUUCUCUGUCUCUCAUCCCACCGACUAAUUUAUGGACAUAUAGUUUCUUAAAGUUGCUAACUUUUUUGGAUACGGAUAGAUCCGCUUCCGCAUAGGUAUUUCUUCUAAAAUUUGGUACCAAAUUUAUAUUUGUAAAGUAAGAUUGGAUAUUUCUCAUAUUCACUUCCAUUUUUGUUCUGAUGCAGAUGUUGACUUGCCAUACGCAUUUUAUCGAGGGACAUUUACAUUUAUGCUCCUAAUUUGCGCCCACUUUCAGAUUUACCCCUAAAUUUUUGAUGUGCUCAAAUUUGCCGCUAAAAAUCAUUUUAAGUCGCAGGAAUGCCCUCCCAUCUGGUUAAAGUUUUUUGACCAAAACUUUGAAAAUUCAUAACAAAUUCAUACGAAGUCAGAAAAAUGCAAAUAAGAUAUCCAAAUGUUCAUACAAACAUCACCUAUACGCGCAUGUCAUUUACGUUCCUCACCUACAUGUGCAUUUAUCUGUAUUCACCCUAAAUUGUUUUUAAUGUUAUAAACCCUAAAAAGCUUUAAAAAUUGCUUUUGUCAUGAACGUAAAUGACAUGUGCAUAUAGGUGUUGUUUUUAUGAGCAUUUUGAUAUCUUAUUUUGCAUUCUUAUAAGUUCAUAUGAAUUUGUUAUGAAUUUUCAAAGUUUUGGUCAAACAACUUUGACCAGAUGGAAGGGCAUUCCUGUGACUUAAAAUGCUUUUUAGGGGCAAAUUUGAGCACAUCAAAAAGUUAGGGGUAAAUUUGAGUAGUGGGUUCGAGUUAGGGGCACAAAUGUAAAUGUCCCUUUUAUCGAAUACGAAUAUCAAAUAUAUUAAAUUAUCUCCCGCCACUUUCCACGCUUAUAUACAUCUAACUCCCACUAAAAAAGGGAAACGUUUGGGUACGGAUGACCGGUCGAGCGCUCGGCCGGCCGCGUCGCGAGUCAGUGCGCCACAUCACCCUUCCAUGCGCCCGCACGACUAAUCACUAUGGGCCCCACUCCACCGCUAUUCCCCGUCGCUUCUUUUCUUAUCCUCAUCUCCUUUCUUCAUUUUCCUCAACCGCCUCUGCUUCAGACCACCAAAUCCACCAUGGACGUACAUCCCAGCUCUCUCUCAUCUACUCUACGCCUCGGCAGCUGGACGCCUGCACCCAAAGCCAACCGACAACCCCACCAUCCACCCCACAACAGGAGCGACCACGACGGGGGGCGCUCCUGCUGCUGCGACCGGUGGCGAUGCGCAGGGGCCAUGGCACGACGGUGUAGGAGGGUGCUCGUAGCCACCGUUGGGGGUGGUGCUGGAGCCGUUUGGGCAGUGUUGACGGCCGUCGUCCAUCCCCUCUUCCCCUGCCCCUCCAGCGCAACCAGCUAAUAAUUUUGCUGGAACUGGCCAGCGGAGAAUGGAACCGGUAGAGCGAUAAGCUGCAACCAAUAUUGGCGGUGAGUCGAACAUGCUGCAACCGACAAAUCACUAAGCUACAACCAACGUUUGUUUUUGCUGGGACUAGUGAAGCUUUUUGCUGCCAUCGACGACGGCGAGCCUUUUUUGCUGGAACUGGGUUUUUGUUUUGCUGGAACCAUGUUUUUGUUUUGGUGGAAUCAAACCAUUUGUUUUGCUAGAUUCAUACUAUCCAAGCUAACCGGCAGUGGGCAGUUGCCUGCAUGUCCAUGGCUGCAACCGCCCGUGAAAAAGCUGCCUCCAGCUAAUAGGAAAGUUGCCAUGGGCGCUCACAGAAGCUGCGACGACGGUGACCCGCGAGAUGGCAACGUGCUAGAACUAGGGCAGCAGGAUGCUCGAACCAACGGAGUUUUUUGCUGCGACCGGUGUUAUUCUUUGUUGGAACCGAAUGGUGUUUUUGCUGGCACCGCAUGUUUUUGCUGCAACAGCAUCAAAUUUUGCAGAAUUUGUUGUUUAUUUUUGCUGGAACCAGCAAUGUUGGGUGGUGGGAUGUUGAGGUGGUGGGGGUUCGCUUGCGCCGGCAGCGGUUUUUGGUUCGCCCACAACGUUUUUUGUUGGAUCAAUGCUUUUGUUUUGCUGCAUCCGUCGCUAGAGGAGCCGCACACAAACGACAGUGGAGCGGAGCCAGCAGUGGUGGACAUGCGGCCAGCGGCGCCCUACAGCACACCGGCAGUGCUGUGAGAUUGCAGGAACAAAGGGGGGCUGGGUGCGCUGCGAGAUGCAUGGCGCAGCGGGGGGAUUUUUCCAGCGAGAUGCGCGAUGUGGCGGGGUAUGCACGAGGUCGAAGACACUUGGAGGUGAAUCAGACGGUUGAGAAUAGUUGCAUCGUACGGCUGCAGGCCGACCGGCCAAAACGUUCGGCCGGCGCGCCGGCGCCUAUCAGUCGCCCCAAAAAAUGCCUAAUUCUCCUCGGUUAUUGGAAGGGAAAUCAUCUGCCCGUUUAAAAAAUGCAAAUGGUUUUUUGGAGGAAAUAUAAUCCGUCAUAUACAUGCAAUAAUCACCUGGAGUCUUUAUCACAGUUGCCGUAUGAGAGCUUAGCUAGUGUACAGCUGAAAGGUGGUUGCCCAGACUCAUUACACUUUGUCUGGUAGCGACACUUUAUGAUGGAGACAAAUCCGCAUAUCUAGAGGUAGGGAUUCUAAGCUAGUCCCUAAGCUAGAUGUCUUGGAACAAGGGUAACAAGGACAUAGGGAUUUUACCCAGGUUCGACUCUCUUGAAGAGAUAGUACCUUACAUCAUGCUUGUGACGCCCCCGAUUCAAUCGUACACUAAUCAUGCACGCAAACGUGUAUGAUCAAGAUCAGGGACUCACGGGAAGAUAUCACAACACAACUCUAAAAACAUAAAUAAGUCAUACAAGCAUCAUAAUACAAGCCAGGGGCCUCGAGGGCUCGAAUACAAGUGCUCGAUCAUAGACGAGUCAGCGGAAGCAACAAUAUCUGAGUACGGACAUAAGUUAAACAAGUUUGCCUUAAGAAGGCUAGCACAAACUGGGAUACAGAUCGAAAGAGGCGCAGGCCUCCUGCCUGGGAUCCUCCUAAACUACUCAUGGUCGUCGUCAGCAGCCUGCACGUAGUAGUAGGCACCUCCAGUGUAGUAGGAAUCAUCGUCGAUGGUGGCGUCUGGCUCCAGAGCUCCAGCAUCUGGUUGCGACAACCUGGUAGGAGGGAAAGAGGGAAAAAGGGGGGAGAAAGCAACCGUGAGUACUCAUCCAAAGUACUCGCAAGCAAGGAGCUACACUACAUAUGCAUGGGUAUAUGUGUAAAGGGCCAUGUCGGUGGACUGAACUGCAGAAUGCCAGAAUAAGAGGGGUAUAGCUAAUCCUGUCGAAGACUACGCUUCUGGCAGCCUCCGUCUUGUAGCAUGUAGAAGAGAGUAGAUUGAAGUCCUCCAAGUAGCAUCUCCAAGUAGCAUCUCCAAGUAGCAUCUCCAGUAGCAUCGCAUAGCAUAAUCCUACCCGGCAAUCCUCCCCUCGUCGCCCUGUGGAAAAGCGAUCACCGGGUUGUCUGUGGAACUUGGAAGGGUGUGUUUUAUUAAGUAUCAGGUUCUAGUUGUCAUAAGGUCAAGGUACAACUCCAAGUCGUCCUGUUACCGAAGAUCACGACUAUUCAAAUAGAUUAACUUCCCUGCAGGGGUGCACCAACUUACCCAGCACGCUUGAUCCCAUUUGGCCGGACACACUUUCCUGGGUCAUGCCGGCCUCGGAAGAUCAACAUGUCGCAGCCCCACCUAGGCAAAACAGAGAGGCCAACAUGCCGGUCUAAACCUAAGCGCACAUGGGUCUGGGCCCAUCGCCCAUAGCACACCUGCACGUUGCGAGGGCGGCCGGAAGCAGACCUAGCCUAACAGGCGUUCCAGUCCAAUCCGGCGCGCGCCGCUCCGUCGCUGACGUCUGAAGUGCUUCGGCUGAUACCACGACGUCGGGAUACCCAUAACUACUCCCGCGUAGAUGGUUAGUGCGUAUAGGCUCGUAGCCAACUCAGAUCAAAUACCAAGAUCUCGUUAAGCGUGUAAAUAUCCGCGAACGCCGAACAGGGCCAGGCCAACCUCUCUCCUAGGCGGUCUCAACCUGCCCUGUCGCUCCGCCACAAAGAUCCACUCGCGGGUGCUCCACCAGCCGACCCGACUUUAGUCUCCACAUGUAUCAUUUAUAAAGUAUAUACUCCCUCCGUUCCUAAAUACUUGUCUUUCUAGGCAUUUCAACAAAUGACUACAUACGGAGCAAAAUGAGUGAAUCUACACUCUAAAAUAUGUCUACAUACAUCCGUAUGUAGUAGUCAUUUGAAAUGUCUAGAAAGACAAGUAUUUAGGAACGGAGGGAGUAGUAUAUACCCGUGAUCACCUCCCAAGUGAUCGCGACCCGAUAGUAUAGCACAACAGACGGACAAGAAUGUAGGGCCACAGAUGGAAAUACUAGCAUCCUAUACUAGGCAAGUAGGAAUACAGGUAAAGGUAUCAACAGAAGUAGCAAAGACAGGCUAUGCAUCAGGGUAGGAAUAACGGAAAGCAGUAACAUGCUACACUACUCUAAUGCNNNNNNNNNNNNNNNNNNNNNNNNNNNNNNNNNNNNNNNNNNNNNNNNNNNNNNNNNNNNNNNNNNNNNNNNNNNNNNNNNNNNNNNNNNNNNNNNNNNNNNNNNNNNNNNNNNNNNNNNNNNNNNNNNNNNNNNNNNNNNNNNNNNNNNNNNNNNNNNNNNNNNNNNNNNNNNNNNNNNNNNNNNNNNNNNNNNNNNNNNNNNNNNNNNNNNNNNNNNNNNNNNNNNNNNNNNNNNNNNNNNNNNNNNNNNNNNNNNNNNNNNNNNNNNNNNNNNNNNNNNNNNNNNNNNNNNNNNNNNNNNNNNNNNNNNNNNNNNNNNNNNNNNNNNNNNNNNNNNNNNNNNNNNNNNNNNNNNNNNNNNNNNNNNNNNNNNNNNNNNNNNNNNNNNNNNNNNNNNNNNNNNNNNNNNNNNNNNNNNNNNNNNNNNNNNNNNNNNNNNNNNNNNNNNNNNNNNNNNNNNNNNNNNNNNNNNNNNNNNNNNNNNNNNNNNNNNNNNNNNNNNNNNNNNNNNNNNNNNNNNNNNNNNNNNNNNNNNNNNNNNNNNNNNNNNNNNNNNNNNNNNNNNNNNNNNNNNNNNNNNNNNNNNNNNNNNNNNNNNNNNNNNNNNNNNNNNNNNNNNNNNNNNNNNNNNNNNNNNNNNNNNNNNNNNNNNNNNNNNNNNNNNNNNNNNNNNNNNNNNNNNNNNNNNNNNNNNNNNNNNNNNNNNNNNNNNNNNNNNNNNNNNNNNNNNNNNNNNNNNNNNNNNNNNNNNNNNNNNNNNNNNNNNNNNNNNNNNNNNNNNNNNNNNNNNNNNNNNNNNNNNNNNNNNNNNNNNNNNNNNNNNNNNNNNNNNNNNNNNNNNNNNNNNNNNNNNNNNNNNNNNNNNNNNNNNNNNNNNNNNNNNNNNNNNNNNNNNNNNNNNNNNNNNNNNNNNNNNNNNNNNNNNNNNNNNNNNNNNNNNNNNNNNNNNNNNNNNNNNNNNNNNNNNNNNNNNNNNNNNNNNNNNNNNNNNNNNNNNNNNNNNNNNNNNNNNNNNNNNNNNNNNNNNNNNNNNNNNNNNNNNNNNNNNNNNNNNNNNNNNNNNNNNNNNNNNNNNNNNNNNNNNNNNNNNNNNNNNNNNNNNNNNNNNNNNNNNNNNNNNNNNNNNNNNNNNNNNNNNNNNNNNNNNNNNNNNNNNNNNNNNNNNNNNNNNNNNNNNNNNNNNNNNNNNNNNNNNNNNNNNNNNNNNNNNNNNNNNNNNNNNNNNNNNNNNNNNNNNNNNNNNNNNNNNNNNNNNNNNNNNNNNNNNNNNNNNNNNNNNNNNNNNNNNNNNNNNNNNNNNNNNNNNNNNNNNNNNNNNNNNNNNNNNNNNNNNNNNNNNNNNNNNNNNNNNNNNNNNNNNNNNNNNNNNNNNNNNNNNNNNNNNNNNNNNNNNNNNNNNNNNNNNNNNNNNNNNNNNNNNNNNNNNNNNNNNNNNNNNNNNNNNNNNNNNNNNNNNNNNNNNNNNNNNNNNNNNNNNNNNNNNNNNNNNNNNNNNNNNNCGGUGAGGUAGAAACGGGGCGUCGGGGUUGCCUGCCCCGAUCCAGAUCGGGACCAAGAAGAGGGGGCGCGAGGAGAGAGUGGGGGGGUCGGGGGAGAAUGUGGGGUGGGUCGUGGGGGUAGUUAGGGUUUGGGGUGUCGGGUAGUGGGGGUGGAUAAGGGAGCGGUGGUGGGCUGGCCGGUUGGCCCUUGCCAGGUUCGGCCGGCCUGGUGGGGUGGCCGACUGGGCCGGCUGGGUCGAGGCCCAGUGGGGGAAGCGGGGGUUCUUUCCCUCUUCUUAUUUUUAUUUGCUAUUUUUGCUUUCUUUCAGUUUCCUUUUAUUUUAGCUUUAGUAAAUUACCAAAGUGGCACCUAAAUAGAUUUAACAAAUUUAUGCCACUGCCACAAUAGUUUAAUACUUAUGACAAUUUAGUUUUGAAAAUGUUUAUUAUUUUUAAAGCAUUUAAAUAACUGUAUUUGCUACUGUUAUAUUCAUUUAGAGUAUUUAAAUAUUUUAUAAAAGUGUGGUUUCUCCACUAUAAUUACCUAUGCAUUAUUUGGCUCACUCCGAACAUUUUAGUUUUAAUACUUGAAAACUUUUAUUGUUUACUUGAUUUUGAAUUUGAAUUUGAAUCGGUUUUUGAACUAACGAGAGAUUAUCAACAGUAACCGAGGUGACGUGGCAUCCUUAGUAGAGGGUUACUGUAGUUUAAUUACCCGGGCGUCACAAAUCUCCUCCACUACAAGAAAUCUCGUCCCGAGAUUUAAGAGGUAGUGAAAGGGGGGAAGGUUCGGUUACGAAUCUAGCGGGUCUUCUCAUUCUGGCUUGCUCUUCUCGAAGAGAACCGGUCCAAUACAUUGAUGUCUUCAUUUCUCUGCUUCAGGUCCUUAUGAUGAAGUCGGCAUCUUUUCUUCGGGAUCUUCAUCGUAUUUACGAAUAGGUAACGGGGUAGAUCGAAAACGACAGAAUGCUAUAAGGGUAAUAACCUGGGAUUAACCCAUGAAUGAGGAUAUGAGUACCUCUCGAGUUGAACAAAUAGAACACAUCGAGAGUAAAGUUGGAAGGUCCAACAAGAAGUUUCAGGCAGCCAGGCAAUCGUUCAAUGCCUAGUCAGAAGGUGAAAGGGGUUUCAAGCAACGGAAUAAUUAUUGUUUUCAUUGCCAGAAUUGAUGAUCUCAUCGGAAGGUGGCUCAUGAAUUAUGUACGAGUCCACGCAGGAGGAAUAACUUUGGGAAUAGGGGGUGUACAGGAGAGUCAGGUUUCGGUCCUGGUGGAACUGUGGGUUAUGGGCCCACCAUGUGGGUUAAAAGUAGGAAGGGCGGUAAUGUCUCGCACGAUCAUUUAAGCAAGACAUGUCAGAGGAUAGCCUGUCAGUUAUGUCGACAACAACAUUGAUACCAAGGGCGAGGGACGAAGAGAACCAUUUUCCUGCUCGUUGAACAAGGCGGACCAAUAGGCAAAGUUCCCAUCCGUCGGUGGCUACCGAAAUGUCGUCAACACUAGAAACAGGGUCUUACUGACAAAGUUGUACAUCGAGGUGUUUGCACAAGCAGUGGAUUAUUACUGCUUAUAUCAUAUAGAUCAUAGAAAAGGUUUAAACAAACCAAUGGAAGGAAAAUAUGAUCAUCAGAUUAAACAGAACAAUGGAAAGGAAAAUAUGUUUAAACACAUAUUUCAAGGGUAUAUCCUUCCCAAGGACAAGCAGAGCAAGAUAUCCAUGACAGGAUAUAAAGUAGAAAACCAUUUAGGUAAGGGGGGGGGGAAGAAUCUCAUGAUAUUACCCAUAUAAUGGUGUUAGGAUAAAUGAUAAAUAAAAUCUAGCAUCGUGCUUCAAAUGUUCCUGUUGCAAAUCGGAGUACCAUUGACAUGCUUCGAGAUAGCAUUGACAUGGUCUUCAGGUGAAGAUCGGACUUUGGAAAGAACGAAGGAUCCAUCAGGAAUAACUUGUAGAAUAAGUCUUACAAUUUCCUCAUGGAUGAAUGGAUAACCUUGCUGAAAGGAAUCUAUAAUGAUAGGUCCUCCAGCCGGGGGGGGGGGUGCUAGGCAUGACAUCAUGUUACCGGGUCAUCAAAGGAUCAACAUCAUAACUCUUGGAAAGUUGUCCCCAACCAUCAUAUCUGACCGAGAUUCAUAUCCAAUUGGUGUCAUGAAACCUCAGACUCAGGGGGUCCGAGAGGAAAAAGGUGCAACACAAAUCGUCGAAAUGACAUUGCAAGAUCCUCGAGAAAUGAAUUAUGGGAGCGGGUUUCUGAAGCAAUAGUUCAUCAUUAAACCAAGGAGAGGACAAGGAGGUGUCUGGUGAACUCAACGGAAAUUCACCGAGAUUCCCAAAAGAUGGAUUUCCACAAUUAAGUGAACAAGGAGAUAACAUUUGUCAGAUCAAAUGAUAUAAGGAAGUAUGCUCGAGGAAAACAUACACAAUUAGACAUUGGUUGAAAGGUGCGCCCGAAAUAUGGGUUGGGUUGCACGACCAAUGUCAGAAUGGUGAUUCAAUAAUCAAUAGCCUAAGAAUGAACUUUCGACCAUUAACUAAAAAAAUAGGGUUGCUAGAAGGAAAGAAUCCAAACAACACCGUUCACUUGUUGGAAUUAAUACAGGGACCAAGAAAGAAUGGUGACGGUGAGAAGUAUUUCUACGUCAAGAAUUCUGAAGAGGUGGAACAGAUCUCAGAACAUUCUUGACAUAAAGGAUGGUAAUACUCCAAGGUAAAGACGAACAAAUGCUGGAUAACAAGCAUCUUAAGGUAUAACACAAAACACGAACAAGUUUGUGUUGAACGGAAGGCAAUAAAGUGGUCGAUGACAACACAAAUCAUCGAGGGCAAGGAUGGUAUUUCUCAUCAUGAAUCCGGUUGAUAUCCUGGAAGAGCUCAUAAGGUUGAUGAUGAUCACGACACAUUCGUCGAGAGAUUUCAUGAAGAUGUAAUCAAUUGGCGAUGACAUCAAGUCAAAGGAAUGAUGAAGCAAAAGGUUAUUGAAACCAUGGGUACGACACAAACUCGAAAUCAAGUUUGUUGGUCAAGGAGAAAUGGUAUGACGAGGAAGAUCGACGUAAGCUUAGCUGGUGCUCCUGGAAUAAGGACCAGGUAGCACAGUUAAAAUCAGCACGACAAGGAUAUAGCCAAACAGGCUAGGAAUGGCGUGAUCGGUUACAAACUCGUACUUAAAGAAGAUUAUCAAGUGUCGUUGAACCGUAAUGCAGACUCGGUUCAGUUAUCGGUGUCUUUGAGUGUUUAAUAACUCCGAGCCCUAAUCGGUGAGUAUGUAGUACUUGAUGAAGAACUCAUAAGAAAUUAUGCAGUUCCAAGAUAAUCUCGAGAUACCAGGUUGUAAUACUCGACGACAGAUCAAAGUAGAGGUUGGACUGGGGUAUUGCUCUAUAGAAGACAAGUGUUUAAACUUGCAUAGGGAAUGGUAUUUAAAGGAGAACAUGGUCGGAACCACGAUUGCAAAAGGCCAGAUCCCAGAUAUAAGAUGAACUUAUACCAAAGGAAUAAUUAAUUUAAGAGAAGCUUUAAUGAUAAGGUCUACAUCGUGUCCAUGGGCAUGAACACAAAGUUCAAGGUCAACUCCCACUUCUCCAAUGGAUAAUAUUUCAUUCACUUCCCACUUUCAAAGAAGUUGUAGUGUUGAAAUUUUAUCUGGCAAAAUACCAGAAGUGUAUGACUCGUGAAAACUUUCGAGUUCACACAUAUUAAGGAAGGCAUAGGUUCAACCCAUCGGGGCAUCUUAGAAUCAUAUACUAGAACCUUUAGAAGUAAUUAACUCAAGCUCGAAGGCAGAGCAUGGUUGAGGAAGCAGACGAUACAAUUUACCAAAGGCAUUAUGUAUCAGAGAAAAGGCUCACAAGGUUAUUGAAUAUGAAGGGCGUUGUCAGAUAAAAUCCAACAAAGGAUCUGGUGGUCCACAAGGUACCUGAUGUGAGCAUCGGUACUCAACCAGAGGAGGAAAGAAUGCAAGGAGAUAAGUUUAUAGAAACAACUGACUAACUCAAUUGUCAAAUGCAAAGGAAUUAUGAUCUCCAAAUCAAGGGAUCAGAAGCAAUGCUCUGAUUAGGGAUGGAUAAGUUGAAUAGCCCUAGGGUACAAUCAACGACAAUUGGACUAGUCGAGAACCAAUUCCAGUUAAAAGAAUGGAAGCUCAGCCGGAAAGGUAAAUUAUAAGGAUCAAUGAUGAUUGCGUGUAUUCGCAACAUAUUGAGUCAACAGACUCAAAAUGAUAAUGACAAGGAAUGUUAAGAAGGUUUCUAUACUUAUGGGAUUAAUCAUAAUGAAAGCAAACAAGAAAUUCCAGAGCAAUAGGUUGCUGAGGAUUUUCGGAAGAUCGAAUGGUAUUUUGAAGACUUUUGUGAAAUACAUGAAUCAACUGGGGAUGAGUGGAUACUCGAUAAGUGUGAGAAAUUAUUUGAAGGGGUAUUCAUGUGGCAAAGAACUGCUAGGCAGUAGGCACAAAGUAUUCUCGGAACAAUAGAGAAAACUUCGGGGUAUCUUCUAAUAACAAGAUCAAUGGGGGAUGAUCAUAUGAAUGGCAAGUGUAAGUAGUUUUCCAUACGGAUUUAUCGGUGGUCGGGAAUAGCAAAAGCGAUGGGCACAAAGUCUCGAGAGAAUAUCAAAGAGUAUCUCCGAAAUCUUCUGGUGCAGUCGGUGAUCAUCCGGACUGAAGGGCCCCUCCGGUAGAAAGUAUUUUCGAGAACCUAAAAGUUAGAAUUUAGUAAAAAUCGUUUAACCCGAAUAGAAGAGAGUUCAGAAUCCCAGAGUAAAGGUCGAGGAGUAAAAGAUCCUAAUACCACCCAAUGGCGACGUGGGCCCAUAAGGCACACAGCCAUGUUAGUAAAAGUUUUUGCAAUGUCUAGACUCGUCUUCGGCUAAGGAGUGUGGAAGGGGGAUUCCUACAGGCAGUCGGCUCUGAUACCAACUUGUGACGCCCCCGAUUCAAUCGUACACUAAUCAUGCACGCAAACAUGUACGAUCAAGAUCAGGGACUCACGGGAAGAUAUCACAACACAACUCUAAAAACAUAAAUAAGUCAUACAAGCAUCAUAAUACAAGCCAGGGGCCUCGAGGGCUCGAAUACAAGUGCUCGAUCAUAGACGAGUCAGCGGAAGCAACAAUAUUUGAGUACAGACAUAAGUUAAACAAGUUUGCCUUAAGAAGGCUAGCACAAACUGGGAUACAGAUCGAAAGAGGCGCAAGCCUCCUGCCUGGGAUCCUCCUAAACUACUCAUGGUCGUCGUCAGCAGCCUGCACGUAGUAGUAGGCACCUCCAGUGUAGUAGGAAUCAUCAUCGAUGGUGGCGUCUGGCUGCAGAGCUCCAGCAUCUGGUUGCGACAACCAGGUAGGAGGGAAAGAGGGAAAAAGGGGGGAGAAAGCAACCGUGAGUACUCAUCCAAAGUACUCGCAAGCAAGGAGCUACACUACAUAUGCAUGGGUAUAUGUGUAAAGGGCCAUAUCGGUGGACUGAACUGCAGAAUGCCAGAAUAAGAGGGGGAUAGCUAAUCCUGUCGAAGACUACGCUUCUGGCAGCCUCCGUCUUGUAGCAUGUAGAAGAGAGUAGAUUGAAGUCCUCCAAGUAGCAUCUCCAAGUAGCAUCUCCAAGUAGCAUCUCCAGUAGCAUCGCAUAGCAUAAUCCUACCCGGCAAUCCUCCCCUCGUCGCCCUGUGGAAAAGCGAUCACCGAGUUGUCUGUGGAAUUUGGAAGGGUGUGUUUUAUUAAGUAUCAGGUUCUAGUUGUCAAAAGGUCAAGGUACAACUCCAAGUCGUCCUGUUACCGAAGAUCACGGCUAUUCGAAUAGAUUAACUUCCCUGCAGGGGUGCACCAACUUACCCAACACGCUUGAUCCCAUUUGGCCGGACACACUUUCCUGGGUCAUGCCCGGCCUGGGAAGAUCAACACGUCGCAGCCCCACCUAGGCAAAACAGAGAGGCCAACACGCCGGUCUAAACCUAAGCGCACAGGGGUCUGGGCCCAUCGCCCAUAGCACACCUGCCUGUUGCGAGGGCGGCCGGAAGCAGACCUAGCCUAACAGGUGUUCCAGUCCAAUCCGGCGCGCGCCGCUCCGUCGCUGACGUCUGAAGUGCUUCGGCUGAUACCACGACGUCGGGAUACCCAUAACUACUCCCGCGUAGAUGGUUAGUGCGUAUAGGCUCGUAGCCAACUCAGAUCAAAUACCAAGAUCUCGUUAAGCGUGUUAAAUAUCCGCGAACGCCGAACAGGGCCAGGCCCACCUCUCUCCUAGGCGGUCUCAACCUGCCCUGUCGCUCCGCCACAAAGAUCCACUCGCGGGUGCUCCACCAGCCGACCCGACUUUAGUCUCCACAUGUAUCAUGUAUAAAGUAUAUAGUAUAUACCCGUGAUCACCUCCCAAGUGAUCGCGGCCCGAUAGUAUAGCACAACAGACGGACAAGAAUGUAGGGCCACAGAUGGAAAUACUAGCAUCCUAUACUAGGCAAGUAGGAAUACAUGUAAAGGUAUCAACAGAAGUAGUAAAGACAGGCUAUGCAUCAGGGUAGGAAUAACGGAAAGCAGUAACAUGCUACACUACUCUAAUGCAAGCAGUAUAGAGGAGAGUAGGCGAUAUCUGGUGAUCAAGGGGGGGGGCUUGCCUGGUUGCUCUGGCAAGAGAGAGGGGUCGUCAACUCUGUAGUCGAACUGGGCAGCAGCAGCGUCGGUCUCGUAGUCUACCGGAGAGAAAAGGGGGGGAAGAAACAAUGAAUACCAUGUAAACAGAUGCAUAUCGAUGCAUGACAAGACAAGUAACGAUGCUAGGCGGGCCCUAACGUGGUAUGAGGUGAUGCCGGUUAAGGGGGGAAACAUCCGGGAAAAUAUCGCCGGUGUUUCGUGUUUUCGGGCAGAGGAGCCAGAGGGGGAAAGCUGCGGGUUCGAUAGGUUAAGGGUGUGCGGCGGACGAACGGACUGCGUAUCCGGAUUCGUCUCAUCGUUCUGAGCAACUUUCAUGUAGAAAACAUUUUCAUUCGAGUUACGGAUUAAAAGAUAUGAUUUUCUAAAGAUUUUAUUAAUUUCUGAAUUUAAUUAAUUAUUUAAAUUAAUUCGAAAAUGGAAUUAUGACAUCAGCAUGAUGUCAUGCUGACAUCAGCAGUCAACAGAGUUGACUUGGUCAACCUGACCAAUGGGUCCAGUGGGACCCACCUGUCAUACUCUGAUUAGUUUUAUUAGGGGUUAGCUAAACAAAUUCGUGUUUAAUUAGACUAACAAGUUAAUCAGAUUAAUUAAAUAGGACUAAUUAACUUAAUUAAUUCACUAAUUAAUUAAUUAAUUAAUUAUAAUUUUUAUUGAUUCAUUUUUUUAUUUUUAAUAGUUCUGGGGGCUGGGCCCCGGCUGUCAUUGGCCCUAGGGGCCUAAGCGGGCGCAAGGGCUUGCGGGCGUGCGGGCUAACGGGCGCAGGGGCGCCUGGCGCGAGGCGAACCCAGAGGCUGCCCGGGCGAGGCCAUGGACGAAGCCGCCGGCGCCCACGACACCGGCCAGGAGAGGCGGUGGAGGGCCGCGGGUGGCACGGUGGUGGAGGUAGUGGUGGGGCUGGCCGGAGCGGCUCACAGGAAGGGGAGGUGAGGCGAGGCGCGCGGCGGGAGUGUGAGUGCGCGUGCGCACGACGGCUAUGGCCGCGGUCGUCGAGCGGGAACCCAGGGGAAGGAGGAGGAGAGGUGCUCACGGGGGGCGUGUAGGGUCCGGGGCAACGAGGGGCGAGGAGGAGGACGGAGACGAUGCAAUGGNNNNNNNNNNNNNNNNNNNNNNNNNNNNNNNNNNNNNNNNNNNNNNNNNNNNNNNNNNNNNNNNNNNNNNNNNNNNNNNNNNNNNNNNNNNNNNNNNNNNNNNNNNNNNNNNNNNNNNNNNNNNNNNNNNNNNNNNNNNNNNNNNNNNNNNNNNNNNNNNNNNNNNNNNNNNNNNNNNNNNNNNNNNNNNNNNNNNNNNNNNNNNNNNNNNNNNNNNNNNNNNNNNNNNNNNNNNNNNNNNNNNNNNGCCCCGAUCCAGAUCGGGACCAAGACGUGGGGGCGCGAGGAGAGAGUGGGGGGGGGGUCGGGGGAGAAUGUGGGGUGGGUCGUGGGGGUAGUUAGGGUUUGGGGUUUCGGGUAGUGGGGGUGGAUAAGGGAGCGGUGGUGGGCUGGCCGGUUGGCCCUUGCCAGGUUCGGCCGGCCUGGUGGGGUGGCCGACUGGGCCGCUGGGUCGAGGCCCAGUGGGGGAAGCGAGGGUUCUUUCCCUCUUCUUAUUUUUAUUUGCUAUUUUUGCUUUCUUUCAGUUUCCUUUUAUUUUAGCUUUAGUAAAUUACCAAAGUGGCACCUAAAUAGAUUUAACAAAUUUAUGCCACUGCCACAAUAGUUUAAUACUUAUGACAAUUUAGUUUUGAAAAUGUUUAUUAUUUUUAAAGCAUUUAAAUAACUGUAUUUGCUACUGUUAUAUUCAUUUAGAGUAUUUAAAUAUUUUAUAAAAGUGUGGUUUCUCCACCAUAAUUACCUAUGCAUUAUUUGGCUCACUCCGAACAUUUUAGUUUUAAUACUUGAAAACUUUUAUUGUUUACUUGAUUUUGAAUUUGAAUUUGAAUCGGUUUUUGAACUAACGAGAGAUUAUCAACAGUAACCGAGGUGACGUGGCAUCCUUAGUAGAGGGUUACUGUAGUUUAAUUACCCGGGCGUCACAAUGCUUGUGUUUAUUAUAUUGGGAUAUAAUACAGAGUACAUGUGUCUACCACAAGAUUGUUGUGUAAUAUUCUAAUCACCUAUCGACUAGCUAGCCUAGCCUCGGUUUAUAUAAUGCACCGGUGGCAUAGGAUAAUAGGAGUCCUAGUGGGCUACGUCAGUGGAGAAGAGUCCCCGUCUUGUCACUACAAAAAAAACAC